AUACUCCAAGAUUGUCAUUUGAGUGACAUGUCUUAAAGAAGGUUUAAAACACUUGUCAAAUGUAAGAGUAAAAGUUUUCUACUCUUGUACAUUUGAAAUUGGUAAGUUGUGAUGUUUUGGAUAAAACAAAGACCAACUUAGGCCAAUUGGGUAAAGUGUUUUUCUUGAUUAGAAUCCGCACUAUCUCUUGGAUGUUUGACAAGGGAGUCUUAUAUGUCAAGAGGACAGUGGGAGUCUUAAAGGUCUUGAAAGUCUCAAGAACUAAUCAAGAAUAAAACCUGAAGUUCUUCACUAGCACACGACUUGAGGUUUAUAACCUAUCGUGUUGACAUAUCUGUGCCCAUUCCAGUUAAAGUUGGCUUUGCAUAUGAGUUCUUAGAGUUCUCAAUUUGUUGCACAACAACUUGGAAGCAAUGGCAGGCCCUUGAGCUGCCAGGUGGCAAGAAAUUAAGAUUGAGUUCAGUCCAUAUGAGUUUGGAUUUGUCAUUAUCCUUGUCUUGUGACUAUGGUUUUGACAAUUCACAUGGAUAAGAACACAUACACCAUUAAAUCUAAGUGUCAUAAGGUUUCUCUCCGAUUCAUGAAAAUGAUGGUGAGGAAACACUUUCACUAAGUAGAUUUUAGCUAGAUAGCAAUUGUGAUAUUUGCAUUCUCAAAGUCGUUAGUGGAGCGUGUGUGGUUUACCGGCACACUAACCUGGACUUGUGAGAAGUGGCAAAAAGGUCUAACCAUUAUGAUUACGGCAUACCUCUUCAUAAUUGUUUAGACACACAAGUGUGCUAUCUAAGGGAAGGUGUAUGAUUUUGAUAAAGUUUUAUCAAAACAAUCUAGCAUCAGAAAUCUGAACUUUGGUAAGAAAGUCAAUGAAGUAUUGAUUUCUAGAAGUCCAGCUGAUUUCUGAGUACAUGUCAAAGCUAGUGGGAGCAUAAGUGUUAUGCUAAUAAUCAUCAUGUUAGUGGGAGCAUGAUAAUUAUGAUAAGUAUUGCAAGUUAGCAAUGUUAAUUAUAGAAAACAAAAGUUUCAAUUGGGAAAAAGUUGUUUUGCUAUAAUUAAGGGAGAGGAAAUUAUACUUCAUCUCAAAUCUAUAAGCUUAGAUCGUGAGGUUUUAAUCAUUUAGUCAAGGAUAUAUAUGAAUUUCAUGUUGGAAUGGCUCAACAUAAGGAAAUUCUGUAUAUGGGUCCAUUAUUUGCGUUCUAAAAUUCGAUUAUGAUUACGGCAUCCCUUUUCAUAAUCUGAAUUAUGAGAACUUGGCAAAUUGAAAUGGAAAUGUUAUAGCAAAAGACUGGUUUAGUCUUUAUGUGAGACAUCAUGAAUCGUGUCCCAUAUGCUUCGGAUAUAGGAUCGAUUACAUGUGCUAUAUUCAUCCGUUCUAAAAUUUUCCAAAUGCCUGGGGCAUUAAGAAGGGAAAAGGUUUAGAACUGGAUAUGACUAAAAGGAUUAAACAAUUGUCGAGGACAAUCUAAGGUUUACCAAAGAUUGGUUGCUCAAGGACAGUUGGAAGUAUAGUGAUAAUUCUGGAAGGACCAUAUUGACAUAAUCUGUAAGGAGGCAACUCUUGUUCAGAAGUGAUAGUCAAAAUGGAAUCUGGAAAUGUUUCAAAGUUAGAAUUUUCAAUCUGUUUAAGAUUAGGAAACUUAAUGCAAGAAGGAUGUUUCCAAGGAGCUGAUCUCCUUUGGAAUACUCUGUAAUGAUUGUUGUCAAGUCUUUCUGACUUUGUGCAUAAUCAUUACAAGAGGAUCAAUGCAUAUAAGUUUAGAAUCUAACAGAUUUCAGUAAAUGGCAUGAAUUUGGAAUUCUUGCAUUUGCAGUAAGGAUUUGGGAGUGUGAAAAGAGAAUCAUUGAAGUUAUGUUCAAUUGAUCUAGUUCACAAAGUAAAGAUCAUAGACAAACAUAGUAUGCAUACUUGGUGUGUGGCAUGACUAGUGUUUAAGAAAACAUAGUGUACAUGCUUGGAGCAUGGGACAACUAUUGUUUUAAAUUCAAGAAUAAAGUUGAUAGCUGAAACAGUAUACAAUGAAUAAUGUGUAAUCAUAUGGUGAUAAAUAAAAGGUGUUUUAUUUAUGUUCAAAGGGUUGAUACCAUAUUGGAUUCAAUUAUUAUUGUGUUUCACUUUGCAUGUUUUGACUUCCCGAAUAAACUAGGUUAUUCUUCCGGAAUGACUAAGUUAUUCAAACCAUCCACAGUCGGUCAUAUGUUGGAAGUAGAUAUGAAUUAAGACUGUCAUGGGUUGGCUUGUAGAGGUCUAAGGUGUUGGACAAAGGGCUACAACACUCAUGAGUGCUCAUAAGUUCUGAGUAUUGGAUUCAACCCGCGCUCAUUGGAAUCACUUCAUGGAUUUUAUCACGAGUGAUCAUGAGACGAUAAUAUCUUAUAUUCUUCAAACCUAGAGAUAUGAGUUGUUACUAUGAGUUGAUAGUACAUUGAUUGCACGAAAACGCAUUUGGUAACUCGGUGCUAUAAAACGUGCCUUUGUGUAUGAUUCAACAAGUAGUAGAACAAGCCAUAUGAGUCGAAGUUUAUCCGUUCCUUUUACCUUCGGGAUAAAAGCGAUAUCUGUGGGCCCCUCGAUGAUUUGAUGAUGACAAAUGGAAGUGCUCGGCCGGGCCAGGACUGAUUUGAUUUGUUCAAUUAGUCAGUCGUCAUAAAUCGGAAAUCGGGAAACAACAAAUGGACAGAGAGAAUGAUUAUAAUCCAUGUCUCAGUCCAUAUGAUAUCUAGAAUGGAGGAAUAUAUGAUCCCUUAUCUAAUGGACAAGUCACUGACAAAGGUCAGAGUUCAUCUACAAGGUCAGAGUUCGACAGAAGCUUUUGAGAGCUACGAUUGCCGGUUGGUUCCUGAAGUCAUACGCAAUAAUAGUUUUAGACUUAUCCAAGUGGGAGACUGUUGGAUUAAUGUCUAAGUCCAUAACUAUAUUUGGUAAGACUUGACCCGACCCGGCAUGGUCCAUUUGGGUUGCAUACCAUCAUGCACUUGAAUGAGAGAAAUAAGACACUUAUGGUUAUUAAUAUAUUAUAAGUUCUAGUAUAUUAAUAAUAAGAAUAAUAAGAUUAUUUAAUUAGUAUUGAUCAAGAAUUAAUCUAGGAUUAAUUAAGUGAUCAAAAGAAGACUAAUUAAAUAUAUGGGUUGAUUGUGUAAAUCAUCCAUACUUGUAUAGUGGGCUAAUGCUCCAUGGAUAAUCAAGUUGGGCUAAAACCCAUAGGAUGGUCCAUGGAUGCUCCAUGGUGUAUUUGUACCCAUUGAUCCAAGGAAAUGGAAAGCCAUGACAAUUAAGAGUUUACCCUAAUUGUGUAACUAUAUAAGCAUCUUAUUAUUGAGGAAAAAUCGGCCACUAGAGAUAGUGAAGAAAGGGCUAGCCGAUUUUGAUGAGUGUAGAAUUCUCUCAAGUCAUUCCAAGUGUUUUGAUGAUUGUGAUUCCAUUUGAGGUGUCACACUUGGGGCACUAAGCACUCAAGCUUCAUGAAGACUUACUACACCAAAAAGGUAUGUAUUCUAUCCUACUAUAUCCAUUGUUUUAUAUGCUAGAUUAGGAUAAUACCUUGGAAGUUCUUAUUUGCAUGUAUAAUAGAGAAAACAUAGAUCCAAGGUAUUUAGGGUUGCAUGUACACUUAGGAAGUGUUAGAAUGCUCAAAACCCAACAACAUUUACCCCUAUCACUUUGACUUCAGCAGAAUGUUGUUUGAUCUCUUCUCGACAAUGCUAUUUUCCAGUGUCAACCACCAGCUGUGAUACACUGAUGAGAUUGUGUUGAAGUCCUUCAACAUAUGCUAUUUUCCAUAUAGAUAACUCGCCAUUAGUGAUCAUUCCAUAGCCUUUGAUAGUUCCAAAUGAAUUGUUGCCGUACUUUACAAUGCCACCAUAUUUGAGAGAACGAAACUUCCUCAGUUCCUCCUUCCUUCCUGUCAUGUGACGUGAGCACCCACUAUCGAUGUACCAUUCUUCGUCAAACAGCUCGUCAUGAAUAACCUGCAAAAUAUUAAGCAUAUUUAGGAACCCAAAGUUUCUUGGGUCCUUGUGAGCCUUUUACAGGACAGGCAAUAGUAAGAGAAAUAUCAACCAUGUAUGUGCGUUUAACUAAAGUUAUUUCAUCUUUUCUUUUAAUUGUGAAAACUUUAAUUUUAGUUGAUUUAGUAGGACUGGAGUUUGUGGUGUUGGCAUUGGUAUUCUUUUGAUUCUCUUUUGGAAGAUUGUUAUCUUCAGGGUAGAGUUUUCCUUUUCCCUUUGAAGUAACUGAAGGACAAGAAUUUGAAUAAGAAGAGUAGAAUUUAGAACUGACUUUGGAAUCCUUGUUUUUCUGAUUGGACUUGUAUGGACGGGGACCGAAACCACUAUUUCGGUUGCUAUGGGAUAAAGGACCGAAACUCUCCUUUCGGUUGUUACUGGAUGAAGGACUGAAACCGUUCUUUCGGUUGUCACUGGAUGAAGGACCGAAACUCUCCUUUCAGUUGUUUUCAAUCGAGGGACCGAAACCACCCUUUCGGCUCCUAUUGGUUGAAGGACCGUAACCAUCCAUUCGGAUCCUAUUGGUCAAAGGACCGAAACCAUCCUUUCGGCUCCUAUUGGUCGAAGGACCGAAACCAUCCUUUCGGCUCCUUUCAGUAGAGGGACCAAAACCAUUCUUUCGGUUGGUGUUGUAGUGAGGACUGAAACUGCUCUUUUGGUUUAUUCCCAUCGUGGGGCCGAAACUUCCCUUCCUGUUCCUUGAGUCUUCUUGUGAUUUGUGCUUCCUUUCUAUCCUUAUAAAGUCAGGAUUUUGAGAAUUCCAAAACUGUUUUCUUUCAGAGAGAUUCUUCUUGUAUCUCAGAUUUCUUUUAUGCUUUCUAUCAGCCACCUGUUUUGGAUUUCUGUGAAUGUUGGCCUUUCUUUUCGAAGUAUGAGCACAACAUUCACUUUUUACCGAAGAAGUAUCACUAGUGGUUUGCAUCGGUUCGUCCAAUGGGGGUUUAGUGCCACUUGUGCUCGGCACAUCAUCCUUUGUAGGCUCAUUUAGUGGUUUAGGUAUGUAUCUACCUUUCACUCUCCAUGAAUGUUUCUGAGAAAGACCCUUUGUCUCAUCUGCGUUGUCUAUUGGGGCCGACCAGAAAAAUUCGUCACAUCCUCCAGCAUUGUCUUCUUCUACCAUAGCUGUUAACUCUGCAGUUUGUUGUGGAGUGACACCCGGUACUCUGUAGACUUGGUUUGGAGUAGUUUGUACCUUUUCGUAUACAACAGCUUUGGCUUUGAGAACUUUGGUUUUGUCAGUAGACGAACGAGCAAACUCAAUGGAGUUUUUAGAAAUUAGGUUCUUGUGUGACUUAGGUUCACUUUUGGCAAAAUCAGAACAGUCUACCAAAUCCUCUACAGAGAUUUCACUCGGAUCAUCAUCCUCAUUAAGCUCAGAUGUGUUUUCAGCAUCAAUUUUAUUUUUUGAACUUAACUUGGCAUUCAAAGAGUCAAAUUUUUGUAUAGUUUCGAUUCUCAAUUUUAAUCUAUCAUUUUCGUCUGACAGAUUUUUGAGCAUGUCGUUGUGGUCUUUGGACUUUAUGUAGGAUUCAAUUUUGUCCAGACCUUUUUUAUAUGUUGGAGAAACUUCGUUAGAAGAUACAACACUUUCACAGUUGUAGACUUCAGCAUCGAUUUUAUCUUCCUUUAAUCCAAGGAAGGGUAAAAGCAUGCGAUGUAUCCUCUUUCCUAUUUCACAAUCAAGAUGCAACUGAAGGAUGUUAAAAUAGAGUCUCUUAGCAUAUAAACAAAACACAUUUCGCUGUUUAAGAAGUUUAAGAUUGUCUCUUUGCAAAUAAAUAAAGUCAUCCUUAGAUCUAAUUAACUCCUUUUCCUUUUGCUCGAUCCCCAUCCUUCGUUCCACACUCUUUGAUGAAAUCCUGCCGAUUUGAUCAGUUAGGUUAGAAUUUGUGACACGGGUUUGGGUGAGAUUUCUACUUAUGCUCGAGAAUUUUAAAUUUAAGUUAUUAAGUUCCUUUUCAUAAUUAGUAACAGGAAUUUUUAUAGAAGCAAGAAUAUUUUAUACCUUUUUGAUCAACUCAUCACAUUCUUUGAUUUGUGCAUUGAUAGGCUUGGCAGCAAAACACCUAUCCUAUCACUCCUUUUCAUCUUCAUCUCCCCCAUCGGUUGUGUAUCCUCUCAUUUGGGACACACCCUCAGUCACCACAAAGCAUCUUCCUGUUGCAUGUUCUUCUUUUGCCAGCAUAGCGUUUCCAUGAGUGGGCUUCCUGUGACAACCCAAAAUUUCCAUUUUGUACAAACCAUUUGAGGCCAAUAGAAGUAGAACAGUUACAGUGAAAAUUCAGACUUCGAGUAUAAGUUUCGCAGUUUUUCAGGAUUUACACUUAAGGAAAUAUCAGGAGAGUGGAUGCACUAGGGUUUCGUGCAACACUGUUAUUCCGAUACUCUAUUAUAUUAGAAAUCAUUUCGGGAAUAAAAAUAUUUUUUGCCAAAAAUAUCUCAGGACUAUAAAUAGAAUUCUGAACCAAAUUAUGUCAUUAGUUACAUUUCCAUCUAGAGAAAAGCCAUUUUCUCUCUCACGGAUCUUCGGGUUUUUAUCCCAAAUCGUGAGUACACUUCUCUAGUUGUCUUAUAAUGCAUAUAAUGUGCAUAAUAACUUAGAUUACAUAGCAAAUCUGUGAGAUUCAGGAGUUUACCGCCCAAGAAUGUUCUUGGAGAGUAAACUCUUAUAUGUGGCUUAAAUGCUACCUAGUCUUUUUCCCCAUGUUAGGUAACUACCUUAGGCAUGUAUGCUAGUGUGUAUAUGACUAGAAAAUAUCAAAAUCGGAUCAAGACCCCAUGAUUUGGGAGUUUACCGCCCAUGAACACGCGGAGAGUAAACUCCAUUUUAAGGGCCAAAAGUGUCCCAGUGACCCUCAAAUCCUUAGAACUCAAACUAGAAGCCUUCAUUACAUGUUUAGGACACCAAAAUCAAUUAGAAACAAGGAUGAAAGUGAGUUCACGGCCAAGGAGGUUCUUGGGCCGUGAACUCCAUGUUUAAGUGCCAAAAUGCCCUUAAAACCUUCCUUAAGCCAACAGACUAAUUUGGGCAUGUACCUAAAUGAGUUUAGGACUAGCUAACACACUUAGAACACCAAGAGAAAAGUGUUCACAGCCCAAAACGUUCUAGGGCCGUGAACACCAUAAAAUGGUGCAAAAUGGUGCCAUAAACUCUUCUUAAGCCUUGUACAAUAGCCUAGUUUAGUUCCUACUUAAUUUGGGGACUUGAAAACACCAUAAACAUCCUCCCAAGGGAGAUUACGGCCGUAAUCUCCAAGAGAAUAUGGUCCCAGGGCCGUAAACUCCUAAAAGGAGUUAUAUUAUGCCCUAAACUCUUCCAUAGACCAAGCCAUUAAGUAGAAAUGCUUAUUAGGGCCUUAUAGAGCAUCAAACAUCAAAUGGACACAUAGGUAUGAGUUCAUGGCCGUAAAAUCAUUUGGUAGUGUUAUUAGGGCCGUGAAGUUCAUGGUGGAGUUUUCCUUGAGCCCUACACACAAUAGCUUCCCCUAAAAACACUUAGAUGCAAUCCUAGAGGCUAAUAACACUUGAUAAAGGUGUUUAGCAUGUCCUAGGGUGUCUUGACUUGUUUAUUAGUUGUGUAUAGACUAAUUUAUUACAUAUAUGUGAAGUUAUAUGUUAAUUAGGAUCAUAUAGUGUGUUCAAGACUUCACUUGACACCUAGCGGUCCUACCUCUUCAGUUCAUCCGUAUCACCCAUAACAGGUGAGUUCAUACCCCUUAAUCAAUGUUUUAACUAUUUUUAAAUUUUUAUGGGGGGGAUACAAGUAGAAUCAUGCCACUUAUUAUAUCAAUCACAUGUGAUUAAUAAGCAGCAUUUAAAUGAUUUACUACUCAUUAGCCGUUUUACCAAACAGUUUACUUCAAAUGAUUUUCAUAAACAUUUUAUAUGUUUUAAAACUCCUUAUUACACUGGACAUUUUACUCUGUAUGUUUUAUUUCAAACUUAUUUACAAUUGUGAUUCAAACAAAUGUUUCCUUAUACUAAAUUGUUUUAUCAAACCCAUGCCCUCAAACCGUUUUAUAGAUUGACAUUAAGUCGAUCUUUUCUUAAGAUGAUAAUUAUGUUCAAAGGUUUUACAAAACUUAUUUAUGCUUUUAUAUUAUAAAUUGCAUGCCUCUAUAUGUAUAGUUAUAUAAGAAAUGUUUAAAAGAUUAGGAAGGCUAUCCACCCUUUUUCCUUUUCGCGCCUGAGAUGUGGUCUGGUGGGAUAUCGGGUACUCGUCCGAAGGUCGUUUAAAUAUUAGUUAUAUAACAUAUGUACAUAUAUAGUCAUAAAGGCCCUUCCAGUUCAUCCAUGCCCUUGGGUAGCAAGGGUAUACAUCCAUGUCCAUACGUACCAGUUAGAUUACUAGUAAACUACCAUAUGGGUAGUUUAGGAAGAUACUAGAACUAUUACUAGAACAUAAUAUCAUAUUAUGAGUCAGUUCAUUCAUGAGUCAAUACUUACUACUAUGAGAACAUAUACAACUGUACUGAAGAAGAACAUAUACAACUAUACUAGAGAAGAACAUAUACAACUAUACUAGAGAGAGAACAUAUACAACUAUACUAGAGAAGAACAUAUACAACUAUACUAGAGAAGAACAUAUACAACUAUACUAGAGAGAGAACAUAUACAACUAUACUAGAAAGAGAACAUAUACAACGAUACUAGAACGAGUACAUUACUAUACUUGCUAGGUAGAGAGCCCGUACAUUACAGCUAGAACAGUUCAUUACAUUACAUAUACAUGAAUACGUUAAUAAUUGUGAUCCAUUGUAUCGGAGCAUGCCUUAAAUAUCAUGGCCCGAGUUGUAGCCAGAAUUCUCUUGGAGGGAGAGCGUGAGUUUGCGUAUAGAUCUAUACUGGAUUGACUAUCCUACACCUUGCUGCUAGCUACAGCCGGACCUGCAGGUCUGCGGGUGCCAAACAACAUUCCAUUUUACGACCAUUCCUAUGUCGUUGUUACCAGUCGAUAGUAUGGUACAAUUAAUCACAUGAUGCCUUAAUAUAAAUCCGGUUUAAGGUAGUUAGUACAACAUUAGUUCUUAUUGAACUACAUUUUAUUACUACAUUAAUUUUCCCUGUACAUAUAUUUAGUGAUCAUUUCACUUAAACAUUUAAUGUAAAAACUAUAUUUUGUUAAUGAUAGUUACACUUGGGAAAAUUACACACUUUUACAUGAAAUGAACAUUUAAAACAGUUAAGUCUUGGUAGAAGACUACAUUGAGAACAGUUAGGUCUUGGUAGAAGACACACUUCAUAUAAUAGUAGGAAUCAUAGGGAUUUCUAGGGUUUUUCAAACGUUUACAGUUGUUUUACAAACAUUUUUACAUUUACAGUUCGUAUACAUUUUCAAUACUUACAAUUUCAUUACAUACAAAUUGUUACAUACAAAUUAAGACACUAAAAUACUUAUGAUCUCACCAACUUUAAAGCUGAUACUCGCUUUCAAAAUUACUUGUAUCCUCAAUUCAUCAUAGACAGGUACCAAUGCAAGGACUAGGGAAGAUGGAGCUCGUUGAAGACUCAUCUUUCAUUUUGAUUUAUGCUUUAGUGUUUAUCAAAAUUUGACAGAACACACUUGUAUAAUAAUUAUAUUAUUAAUGCAAUGGAUGAUGUUGUUGCUUGUUUACUACUUUACAUUGUUGUGAUAUUGUAGAUGACGUCCUCUGCCCCAGAACGUUUCCGCCAUUCUUGGUUUUGGGGUGUGACACUUCCUAACUUCAUCAUCCUCAUAAUUUGUGGACCAGACCUCCACACCAACAAAUUCAUCACUGUUGUUUGUAUCCUGCACAAUUAAAGCAUUCAUGGCAGUAUUAUUAGGAGCAAACUUUCUUUUCUUUAUUUCCUCCAGUCUUCUCAGGAGGCUCGCUUCCUCAUCUUCUUCAUUUGUCUUCUCUUCAUUCUUUCUCAGCAUUAAGUCUUUAGCAAAAUGAUUCUUGCUCCACAGUAAUGGCAGUCGAAUCCUGAGUCUCCUCUAACUUUUGCUUCCUUCUUUGACUCUUCAGACUUUGACCCCGUCUUCGGUUCCUCCUUGAUCCUUUUGACGUUGUAACUACCCUGCCAAUUUCAGUUCUUAUUGGUUGGGAAUUUAUUCUUAACGAGUGCUCUGGGAUUGGACUCCAUCAUGGCGUAUUCUUCACCGGUUAGAUCAUAAUUUGCAAGAUCUAAUUCCUCUUCUUCUUCAACCGAACUUUUUCUUUAGAGACAAGAGCUAAAGAACCCAGACUGGAAACCACAUUUGUUUCCUUAGACAGAGCACUCUCAUGGGAUUUCAAAAUACCCACUAGUUUUGCCAGAGAAUGAGACUUUUACUGUUCAUGAGCUUUAACAAUUGACACAACAACUAUCCAUUCAGGUUUGAGGCCAUUCAUGAAAGUAACCUUUUGUUUGAUAACUUUCCUUUCAAUCCCAUGCUUUAUCAUCUUACUUAAAAGAUAUUUGAAGCGAUCAAAAGUUUGAACAAGUUUCUCUUCAGGUUUCUGCUUAAAGUCACCAAAUUCAGACAGCAAGAGAGUUUGUAUUGAAUGUUCCAAAUCUUCGUCAGUGGUGUAUAAUUCUUUCAAUCUAUCAGAGAUCACUUUAGCUGUAGCACAAGAACUCACUAAACGAAACAUAUCCGACUGCAGCGCAAACCUUGUCAUCCUCAAGGCCUUGAUGUUGCAUUGAAACUUCUCCUUCUCAUCCUAAGGAAUAUCUUUGACAUCAUUGACAAGCUGAUUGUACUCUUUCUGUGUUUUAACAAUCCUAGAUGUGCUUGAGUUAGCGAAUGGGCCUGCAGUAAUCGCUUCCCAGAUUAAUUAUCCAUUGUCCUCCGAUCCAAUCACGUAAUCUUCAAUGUGAUGCGUCCAAACUUCAUAGUCUUGUGUAUUCAAGAUUGGUAUUCUUGUUGUAGACCCUAUGCUGUCGGAGAUAUUCAUCAGAUUGGUUUGUGAAUCAUCCAUGGACAUUGUAAAGACUUUUGAUCAAUAACCUGUAAAAGAUCAGACUUGUAAUAUAUCAUUAGGGUUAGAUCAACAAUUAACGAGAUACGUAAAUAUAGAGUGACGGCUCAAUAAAUAUCAAUCAAUGCGGAAUUAAAACCCUAAUAACUUCUUCGACAGAAGAGAUGUGUAUGAAUUACACAGUCUCCUGCUCUGAUACCAAUUGAAGAGAUUAAAACUCUUAGAUUGAUUAGAUCUUUCAUAAGUACGAUUAUGGAAAUCAGAAAAGUCAAAAACAAUAUGAUAAUGAACACAGAAUAGAAUCAAAUAUAUGCUUAUGAUUCAAAACAGAGUCAAGCCUCAACAGAGCUCGAUGAAGAACUUCCGAUGUAGAGGCGAGCUAGGGUUUACAAAACUUUAAACAAAAUAAACAAUGAAAGCGAUAACUUCUAAGUCUUAAUGCAUGCAGCUUAUAUACUAAACCCUAGUACAAAAAUAUGCAUGGUUGGACAGGCCCAAUACCGACAAUCAAACUGGGCUAAGGACCGAGCCCAUGAUGCAAUCUACUCGACCCAACAUUUCCCUUUGUGUGAAUGGGUCUACGGCCACAAUGCCGGACCAUGUAGUUAUGAGUAGGAAGACCCGGGGGUUAGCCCUAGGCACUGUAUGCUAGUAGUUAUUCCAGACCAAGGUCCGAUGUCGGGCGGGUUCCUGUGGAUGGUUUAUGUGUUAGUUAUUCCGGAUCAAACUCCAAUGCCAAGGUAAGCCCAAGGAAAGUUGCAUGUUAGAUUUUACUUGUUGUCUGUGUGAUGCUUGUAUGUGCCUGGUAGGGAGGUGAGUGUAUGUGAGGUUCCAUAUCUCACCAUUAGUAGAGUAUGGACGGGGUUCCAUAUCUCAUUAGUAGAAGAUCAGAGGUGAGGCCUGAGGUAGGAAAGUAUUGAGUGUGGGUUGGGGCCCGUAUCUCAUUAUCAGUAGGUGUGUGGACAGGGUUUCAUGACUCACUAGUAGCAGGACAGGGGCGAGGCCCAUGAUAGGUGACGCCUUAGGACAGUAAUAGUGUACAGUAUGUUCAGUUUAUGUGUUAUGUGCUAUGGUUAUAUGUUUGCAUGAGUUUUGCGGGCGGGGCCCAGAGAUAGGCUGGGCCUAAAGUAAAACAGAUCUGUAUACUGAGCGGGGCUCGAAGCCAGGCGGGGCCUGGGAUCGGGCAGGGCCCGAUGUAGCGGGCGAGGCCCGAAGUAGCGGCCGUGGCCUAGUGCUUGUAGUAUGUGAUUAUGCAUGGUAUGUGGUAGGUUGGGAAACUCACUAAGCUUUCGUGCUUAUGGUUUUCAGUUAUGGUUUCAGGUACUUCCGGUAGCGGAAGGAAGAGCUCGAGGUGAUCGCAUGACACACACACACCAAAUGAGUUUUAGCCUGGGAUGUUUACUCUGAUAAAAUAAAAUAGACAUGAUACUCUGAUGUGAUAUGUUCUUCAUGAAUGGUUGACAUUUGUGGUUUAAUUAUUAAAUUAAAAAUGAAAUUUUUGGUUAUGAUUUUUGGGUCGUUACAAGUGCCAUAAAGUAAGCAAAUUUAUGGUUUAAGCCAUAAAGCUUUCACCUUUGGACAAAACACUAAACCAUACUAGAUCUAAGCAUACUUAAGUAAAGUUGUGAGGUUUAUACCUUCAAAGUGUUCCAAAAGAUGAUUUUAUCACAUAUCUAUAAGCUCUGGCCGCCAAGGUUCCUCCAUGUCACUCUUCUUCUUUUCUCUUCCAAGGUUUAAACCACCAAACUAAGCUUCCUAAGGUCAAGAUCUCACAAAAUGAAGGGUUGGGGCGUGCUAGGGUUUCUCCGAAGUUACGGAGGCUGAUAAUGGGCUAGGGUUUGAUCCAUUAUGCUCCUAAUAUAGUGGCACACCCUAAAAAUAGGGUUUUAAGACUCUGAGCGUACGCUGGGCGUACGCCUCCCCACACCCGCGUUCACUUGUUCCAUUACGUUGGGCGUACUGAUGUGCGUUCCAAAUUGCAUGCAUGGCCUUCUAUGCGAGCUUUUCUCCAUAAGGGCCAUUAUUGAUAAUAUCUUCAAAGUGUCAUAACUCCUUCAUCCUAGAUCCGUUUCCGAUGAACAUUAUAUCUACGGAAAGGUGGCGAAAAGUCCUACGCUUCUAACAACACACCCCGGUCCAAAACCUUCUCGAAUGAAACUCAAAACCCAUAAAUGACCAAAACGCCCCUAGCCUUGACUUCUAGAUCCAUAAAUGAAUGCUUUUCCGAACAGGGUGUUACACAAAGGGAAGGAAGCUUAAAUGGAUAAUAUGAUGAAUCUGAUCACGAUGAUGGAUUUCAAUCGCAUGGUUCGAAGAUCGGAUUUUUGAGCUACUACUAAGGGGUUAUGAUAGAUUGCUAGGAAAUAUGUAAUAGCAUAGAUUUCAUUUAAAGUUUCAUUGUAUGGAAAAAGUUUUUUCCACAUUUCAUAAAUAAAUAAAAUAUUUUUUUGUUUUAUUUUAUAUCUCCUUGCAAUGGAAUUUAUGGAAAAUUGAUGUUUGUAUGUUUCUAGCAAUAAUGGAAAUAUGAAUUUGAUCAUUUCAUUUGUGGUAGUGUCUAAAUUUACCAAAUAAGGAAAGAUUCUCAUCACCCAAGUUUCAAUUGGACUGAAACUUAGAAUCAUGCAAGUUAUAUUGUAUGAUGAAUGAGAAUUUUCAUCUUUGGAAAAUUAAGACUAUUUCCUUGUUGACAUGUAUAUGUGAGUUAAGUGAAGGAUAAAAGGAUCGGGUACACUUGGUUGUGCACUGGUCAGGUCCACCACAAAGAUUGCUAAGGCUAUUUGUCAUGAUUCACUAAAAGUUAGUAAAUAUGGUUACACUUACAAGUUUAAGUGUAAUUCUGAAGCAUUGGAAAAGUUUCAGCAUAUGGCAAAACGAAUGAGAAGAAUCAAAUUACGCAGAAAGAUAAAAGUUUCUCGAAUCUGAAAAAGAUGGGAGAGUACUUUAGUGUCAUGUUUUAUGAUCAUCUUAAUGAUUAUGAAACCAUAUCAUAAUUCAUCCUCUAAGGUCAUCUUAGUUCAUUCUUAUGGCUAAGAGGAGGAGUCGUGAAUUGUUGAAGUGGUUAAAUUAAGAAGAUGAGUCAUACUUCGUUCCAAAUCAAUUCUUAGGGUCAUACUCCAAGAUUGUAACUUGAGUGACGUAUCUUAAAGAAGGUUUAUAACCCUUGUCAAAUGUAAGAGUAAAUUGUUUUAUACUCUUGUACAUUUGAAAUUGGUAAGUUGUGAUGUUUUGGAUAGGACAAAGACCAACUAAGGCCAAUUGUGAGAAGUGUUUGUCUUGAUAAGAAUCGACACUAUCUCUUGAAUAUUUGUUUGUAAAGGAAUGGUUCUUGGCAAGAGAGUCUUAUAUGUCAAGAGGAUAGUAGGAGUCUAAAAGAUCCUAAAAGAGUUUCAAGAACUAAUCAAGAAUAAAACCUAUAGUUUAUCAAUAGCACACAACUUGAGGUUUGUAACCUAUUGUGUUGACAUAUUCCUAUUUCUAUGCCCAUUCAAGUUAAAGUUGACUAUGCAUCUGAGUUCUACAAGCUCUCAGUUGUUUGCAUAACUACUUGGAAGCAAUGACAGGUCCUUGUGCUUCCUAGUGGCAAGAAGUUAAGAUUGCACAAGUUUAUUCCAUAUGAGGUUGGAUUUGUCACUAACCUUGUCUUGUGAUUAUGGUUUUGACAAAUCCACAUGGAUAGGAACACAUACACCAUAAAGUCUAAGUGUCAUAAGGUUUCUCUCCGAUUCAUGAAAAUGAUGGUGAGGAAACGCUUUCACUAAGUAGGUUUUAAGUAGAUAGAAAUUGUGAUAUUUGCAUUCUCAAAGUCGUUAAUGGAGCGUGUAUGGGUAACCGGCACACUAACAUAGACUUGUGACAAAUGGCAAAGGUCUAAACAAUUGAUACUAUGAUUAUGACACCCCUUUUCAUAGUUCUAAAAAUUGUUUAGACACACAUGUGAGCUAUCUAAGAAAAGGUGUAUGAUUUUAAUAAAUUCUUAUCAAAGCAUCCCGUAUCAGAAAUAUGAACUUUGGUAAGAAAGUCAAUAAAGUAUUGAUUUCUAGAAGUCCAACUGGUUUCUGAAUACAUGUCAAAGAUAUAUAUAUAUAUAUAUAUAUACACAUUUUAUGUCGGAAUGGUUCCACAUAAAGAAAUUCUAUAUAUAUUGCGUUCUCAAAAUUCGAUUACGAUUACGGUAUCCCUCUUCAUAGUCGAAUUAUGAAAACAUGGCAAAUAAAAAAGUAUUGUAGCAAAAGGCUGGUCUAGGAUCAUGUCUUUAUGUGAGACAUCAUGAAUCGUGUCCCAUAUGCUUCGGGAAUAGUAUCUAUUACAUGUGCUAUAAUAUUUAUCCUUUCUAUAUUUUCAAAAUGCCUACGGCAUUAAGAAGGGAAAAGGUUUAGAAUUUGAUAUGACUAAAAUGAUUAAGCAAUUGUUGUGUAACACCCUUAAUCAGAAAGACCAAGAAAGGAAAGGAAAACCCUAAGUUAAAGGGCCAACUCGUCGAAUCCAAGGAGGAACUUGGCGAGUCCGAGCGGGAUCCGAGUCGAGGAGUAAGUGACCGACUCGGCGAGUCGGAGUAUGGACUCGGCGAGUCCGGUCUGAAGAGGGAAACCCUAAAUCCGGGACUUUGUUCACUAUUUAAACAUCUCAUUCUCUUCCCAAGGGUUCCUUUAUUGCCUCUCUAACCCACAACACCAAACCCUAGCCACCAUAUCCGUUUUUGAGCUAAUUCUUGCCUUGAAUAGUGCAUUAAAGAUUGGAGAAGGAAGAAGGAUCUUGGGAGUGCGAGAAGGGGCUAUAGAUCCGGGAGUGGGAAGACAUUUUAGAGCAUUUGGAGGUAAUAAACUAGUACUUGGACUUCUUUGCAUCUAGAUCUAUCUUGGUUAUGAGUUUUGGGGCUUGUAUGCCAUAUCCUUGGAUCAUUUCGAGUUGGAGCCCAAAUCUGAAGUUGCUACUUCAGAUCUAAGUGUAUUCUGGCCUAGAAAAUCAUAAAGCAUUAGUCUUUGGGUUGGUUGUUCAGCCUCUUUGUCUUAAAAUCAAGUUUGGAGUGUUUUGGGCCUAGCUCUCCUUAGCUACACGUAAAGUUUGCGCCUUUACGUGAGGGAUAGGCUUUGGAAGUAUGGAUCUAUGAUUUGGAGCCCCUGCAUGGCUCGAAAAUCCACUGAAUGUAUUAAGAACUGCAGCAACUCGGUGAGUUGGAUGAAGUUGGGCAGGAACUCCGCGAGUUGGAAGAACAUCUCGACGAGUUUGUUGAAGAUUGCCUUGGACUCGGUGAGUCUGUUCUUGGACUCGGCGAGUCAAGUCGUGAAACCCCGAACCCUUCGAGUUGAGACUUGAAUCAGUGAGUUCAGUGGGGACUCGGUGAGUUGGACAGGUCAGGACUCGGAAAUCAAUGGACUCGGCGAGUCAUGGACUGACUCGGCGAGUCGAGUCGCGAAUGGAAGGACUCUGAGCAUAUGAACUCGGCGAGUCAGUAGGCAGACUCGGCGAGUAGGGUUGACCUGGAAGGUUGAAUUUGACCAGGACUUUGACUUUGACCAGAGUUGACUUAGUUGACUUUUGGGGGACAAUUAGACUAAGUGUUGCAUUGAUAUUGGUAGCUUAGGGAGCUAGUGGAGCAGGAGUUUAGAGAGUUGCCGGGAAGCAGCUAGAGGGGUUAUCAGCAAGUUCAGAAAGCGCAGGUGAGUUUCCCUUUGUGUGAAUGGGUGUAUGGCCAUAAUGCCGACCCAUGUAGUCAUGAGUACAAGACCCGGGGGUUAGCCCUAGGCACAGUAUGCUAAUAUGAUAUUCAGGAUGAGGUCCAAUGAUAGCGGGCGGGUGCCCAAGGAAUGGCUUAUAUGAUAGUUUAUACUUGUUGUCUGUGUGAUACAUGUAUGUGCCUGGUAGGGAGGUGAGUGUGGGCGAGGUCCCGUAUCUCACCAAUAGAAGAGUGAGGAUGGUGUUCCACAUCUCAUUAGCAGCAGAACAGGGGCGAGGCCCAAGUUAGGGAAGGAGUGAGUGUAGGNCACUAUUAGUAGGAGCAUGGACAGGGUUCCAUUAGUAUAUGUUUAGCUUAUGUUUUGUGAUAUGUUUAUGUGCUAUUAUAUGUUAGCGGACCGAGGCCCAGUGACAGGCGAGGCAUAUGUGAAACAGAUAUGUAUCCGAGUAGGGCUCGAAGCCAGGCGGGGCCGUUGUAGCGGGCGAGGCACGAAGUAGCGGGCGUGGCCCAGUAUAUGUUGUAUGUGUUUAUGCUGGGUAUGUGGUAGGUUGGGGAACUCACUAAGCUUCGUGCUUACGGUUUUCAGUUUUAGUUUCAGGUACUCCUGACAGCAGAGGGAAGAGCUCGGGGUGAUCGUAUGGCACACACCAUGGAUUAAACUGCCUGGGAUGUUUUACUCUGAUAAUGAACAUAUGUUUUGGAAAUUAAUACUCUGAUUAUGUUAUGGAUUGAUAAAUAUGUUUUAAGUAAUGAUUUAUAAAAGAAAUUUUUAGUUUGGAAUUUUGGGAUGUUACAUGUUGAGGACAAUCUGAGGUUUUACCAAUGAUUGGUUGCUCAUGGAUAGUUGGAAAUAUGGUGUAAAUUUUUGGAAAUGACAUAAUUAACUUAUUCUAAAAGAGAGGCAACUCAUGUUUAGAAGUGAUAGUCAAAAUGGGAAUAUGGAAAUGUCUCCAUAGGUGGAAGUUAGUCAAUCCGUGUCAUAUUAGAAGAACUUAAUGCAAGAAGGAUGUUCAAAGGAAUGUACUUUGAAUUUGAGACUUCAUUUCCAUGGAAUUGAUCUCCAUUGGAGUACUUUGUAAUGUUUGUUGCCAACUCUUUAUGACUUUGUGCAUAGUCAUUACAAGAGGAUCAAUGCAUAUGAGUUUAGAAUCUAAUAGAUUUCGAUAAAUGGCAGGAAUUUGGAAUUCUUACACUUACGAUAAGGAUUUGGGAUUGUGAAAUGAGAAUCAUUGGAAUUAUGUUCAAUUGAUCUAUUCCACAAAGUAAGGAUCAUAGACAAACAUAAUGCGUAUACUUGGUGUAUGGCAUAACUAUUGUUUGGAAAAACAUAGUGUGCAUGCUUGGAGGAUGGCAUUACUAUUGUUUUAAUUCAAGUAUUAAGUUGAUUAUUUGAAACAUUGUGCAAUGAAUAAUGUGUAAUCAAUAUGGUGAUAAAUAAAAGGUGUUUAUUUGUAUUCAUAAGUUCUGAGACCAUAUUAGAUUCGAUUAUUCUUGUGUUUCACUUUGCAUGUAUUGAGGCAAGACUGUCAUGAAGGGUCUGUAGUUUGUCUGGGACAAAGUGGUUGCAGUGUUCAUGAUUGCUCCUAGAAUGAGAUUUGAGUAUCGGAUUCAACCCACGCUCAUUUGAGUCACUUCAUGGAUUUUAUCACGAGUGAAUCAUGAGACAAUAAUAUCUUAUAUUCUUCAAACGGAGACGUGUGAGUUGUAGUUACGCGUCAGUUGCACAUUGACAUAUGUAAACGCAACCAGUAACUUGGUUGUUAUAAAACAUAUCGCUAUGUAUAAUUUGAUGAGUAUGUACAAGCGAACACUUGGGUCAAGGUUUAUCCAUUCCAUUUACCCUUGGAGGGAUAAAAGGGAUAUCCGUGGGCCCCUCGAUGAUUUAGUGAUGACAACCCUAAGUGCAUGGCUAAGCCUAGACUGAUUUGAUUUGUUCAAUUAGUUAGUCUUCGUAAAUCGGAUAUCGGGAAACAACAAAUGGACAGAGAGAAUGAUUAUAAUCCAUGUCUCGGUCCAUAUGAUAUCUAGAAUGGAGGAAUAUAUAAUCCCUUAUCUAAUGGACAUGUCAUUAACUGGGUCAGAGUUUGACAGCGACUUUAAGAGCUAUGAUUGCUAGUCAGGAUCUUGGAGUCAUACACAAUAACAAUUUUAGACUUAUCCAAGUGGGACACUAUUGGAAUAGAUGUUUAAGCCCAUAACUAUUAUUGGUAUGUAUUCGACCCGAGAGUAGCAUGGUCCAUUUGGGUUGCAAGGCAUCAGAUCAAUUGGAUAGACAAAAUGAGAAAAAGGAUACUUAUGAUUUAUAUUAAUAUAUUAGAAGUUCUAAUAUAUUAAUAUGAUAUAAUAUUAUUUAAUUAGUAUUGAUCAAGAAUCAAUUUAGAAUUAAUUUAACUUUUNNNNNNNNNNNNNNNNNNNNNNNNNNNNNNNNNNNNNNNNNNNNNNNNNNNNNNNNNNNNNNNNUAUAUAGGAUGGGCAAAGUUCAUUUAGGUUGGGAUAAGCUUUCACGGAUAGUCCAUGGAGUUUUAACCCAUGGAUCCAAUUGAAAUGAAAGGUCAUGGGUAUUAGGGUUUACAUGAAUGUAACCCUAAUCCUCCACACUAUAUAAAGAGGUUUCUAGUUCAUGAAAUUCGCACUAGUUCAUAAGACAAAGAGCGCUAGCCAAUUUUGGUGCAAGUAUUCUUCUUCUCAAGUUAUUCCAAGAGUUUUUGUUGUUGUGUGAACCAUUUGAGGUGUAAAACUUGGGGCAUAAGCUCAUAAAGGUUCAAGACUUCAAGCUCCAUGAAAAGUUAUGUCAUCUAACUAGACUUUUGUAGUAUGGUUGCUCCAUUGUAUGUUAGUUAGGAUGAGAACCUUGGAAAAAUCAUAUUUGCAUGUAUAAUAGAAAAAACAUAGAUCAAGGUUUCUAGGGAUGUAUGUACACUGUAGGAGUGUUAGAAUGCUCAAAACCCAUUAAAAUGAUCAAGUGGAGAGGGAGCACUUGCAUUCAAAGUCUCAUAUUGAGGGGGAACAUUCUUUCGAGGGGAGAAUAGGAGAAUGGAUGAUGAUGUUGAGGGGGAGCAAACCGAAAAUGAAGUUGUCAAGGGGGAGCUAAAUGCGUCGAAUAAUAAUCAAUAUGAAACUCUUCAUGAUUUUAAUGAUAAUAAUUAUGUUGCAGGUUCAGAGAAUGAAGAAAUGUUCGAAGAUGCACCAUUGGAUUUUGAUCCAACUUAUCCACCAUUGGAGAAAUGGACAAGAAAUCAUCCAAAAGAACAAUUUAUUGGAAAUCCACAAGAUGGUGUGUUAGCUAGAGCUCAACUUCAUGCAAAGAAUGAGCUACUUAAUGCUCAUCAGGAGUUUUGCAUGUUUAAUGUCUUUAUUUUGAAAAUUGAACCAAAAUUAGUUAAGGCUGCAAUGGAACACUCAGAUUGAGUUGUUGCAAGGCAAUCUAAAUUGUCUGAAUUUGAAAGAAACAAGGUUUGGAGAUUAAUUCCUAAACCAGAAGAUGUUUCGAUUGUUGGAUUAAAAUGGAAUUUCAAAAAUAAAAUAUAAAAAGAUGAUAAUAUUGUUCGAAAUAAGGUUAGGCUUGUAGUUAAAGGCUAUUCGCAACAAGAAGGUAUCGAUUAUGAUGAAACCUUUUACCCUGUCACAAGACUUGAGGCUAUUAGGAUAUUUUUGGCCUAUGCAACACACAAGGAUUUUGAUGUCUAUCAGAUGGAUGUUAAAUGUGCUUUUUUCAAUGGGGAACUUGAAGAAACUGUUGAUGUUGAACAACCUCCAGGUUUUAUAAGUGAAAAAUUUCCUAAUCAUUUUUAUAUUUUAGAUAAACCCGUGUAUCGGUUAAAACAAGCACCAAGAGCAUGGUAUGCAACUCUCUCCUCAUUUUUAAAACAUUCAAAAUUUUAACAAGGAACAGUUGAUCCCACACUAUUUCGAAAGAAAGUUGGGGAUCAUCUACUGCUUGUUAAAAUUUAUGUUGAUGAUAUUAUUUUUGGCUCAACUGACCUUGCUUUGUCUAGAGAUUUCGAAAAUCUAAUUAAAAGUCAAUUCAAGAUGAGCAUGAUGGGUAAAAUAAACAAUUUUCUAGGACCAAAUAUUCGUCAAAGAAGAUAAGGAAUCUUUAUGAAUCAAAGAAUCUGCUUGAAAAUUUUGGCAUGACGAACAGCACAAAAUUACGAGUACCAAUGGCAGUUGGAACAAGGCUAACACCUUCUUUAGACAAACUAACUGUUGAUCUUACUUUAUACAAAAGCAUGAUAUGUUCGUUACUUUAACUUAUGGAAAGUUGACAUGUCAUUAUGUUUUCUGUUUGUAAUUGUGCUAGAUAUCGAUUGAAUCCAAGAGAACCACACUUAACAAUGGUGAAAAAUAUUUUUCGAUAUCUCAAAGGCUCAAUUUCAUUAGGAUUGUGGUAUCCUUCUAAAUCUGGAUUCUUCAUACAAGCAUUUUUAGAUGAUGAUUUAGGAGGUUGAAAUCUUGAUAGAAAAAGCACAAGUGGCGGAUGUCAAUUACUAGAUGGGAGGUUAGUAAGCUGGCAAUCAAAAAAGCAAACAUGUGUUUUGAUUUCCACACCAGAAGCAGAGUAUGUUGCUGCUGCAACAUGCACUUCACAAAUCAUAUGGAUUCAAAGCCAACUGUGUGAUUAUGCAAUCAACAUGAAGAAAAUUCCAUUGUAUUGUGAUCCACAAAGUGCUAUACGCAUUUAUCACAAUCCUGUGCAACAUUCGAAAACAAAGCAUAUUGCUCUUCGCUAUCACUUUAUAAAAGAUCAUGUUGAGGAUGACAAUAUCAAAGUUCACUUUGUGAAAGCCACUAAUCAACUUGUUGAUAUAUUCAUAAAUCCAUUAGAUGAAAAAUCAUUCGUGAGAAUCUUGGGAGGUCUAGGAAUGAUUGAAGGAAUUUCAGUUUCUGGGUUGAUUUCUAAAGAAUAACAAAAUAAAGGUGUAUGACUGAUGAUUCAGAGGUGCUGGAGGGUAUGACUUCAGAUCCUGAUCUGCAAUCGUAGCUUUCUAAAGCCGCUGUCAACUCUGAUCCUAUCAGAUACGCAGGUCCUUUUGAUAACGUAUCAUAUAUUCCUCCAUUCUAGAUAUCGUAUGAGACAUGAUUUCUAAUCAUUCUCUUUGUACUGUUUCUCGAUUUCCGAUUUAUGACGACCGACUAAUUGAACAAAUCAAAUUUGCCCUAGCCUGGCCGAGCAUUUACGUUUGUCAUUACUAAAUCAUCGAGGGGCCCAAAGAUAUCGCUUUUAUCCUUCUUUGGAUAAAAGGAACGGAUAAACUUUGAUUCAAUGCUCGCUUGCACUCACUCACCGAAUCACACACAACAAUAUGUUUUAUAACACCAAGUUACUAGUGCGUUUACAUAUUAUCUGAAAGAACAUAAUUUGUGGUUUGAGCUAGGCAUCAUUUUUUUUAUAGAUAAUAGUGUCAUUUUGCAAUGUUUGUGUUUUGUUAUGUAAUGUGUGCUGCCACACAUGUGCGUGCGGCCGCACACAUGUGUUUGGCCGUACUCUCUUGUGCUAGUAAGAGGAGUACUAUUUAUAGCAACUGAGUUGUGUCAGUCUGCACUUUUGGCUAGGUGUCAGAACUCUGCAGCAGUUGUACUUUUCUCAAGAUGUACUUGACAUUUACUGAAUAUAGAUGUGUGCAUGCUUGAUUUAACUUCUUCUUCAUCUUAAUCUCAAUCUUAUUGCAAUUAACUUCAUUGAUUACUAAAUUGGAUCCUUAGUUUUGCGACUUACAAUUGGUAUCAGAGCCAUUUUGGUAUCAAUUGAAGUUAUUUUUUUGAGUGCAAAAUUUCAUUAUUUUUAAGAAUUUUGAUCGAAGAAUUGUUGAUGUAUUUUUAAGAAUUUUGAUCGAAGAACUGUUGAAGGCUUGCUGCUGACUUUGAAGGUUUGCUGCUGACUUUGAAGGUUUGUGGUUAAAGUGAGUGUGCGGUGGAGUGUGUCUAAUUAAGUGUGUGCUGGUAUUGUGUUUGCUGCUGACUGAGUGUGUGCUGUUACUGUAUUUGCUGGAAUUUUCUUGUUUGCUGCCAAGAGUGUGUGUGCUGUUAAAGUGACUGACGGUUAAGGUGUUAUAAUUGUGUGCGGUUCAAUUUAGUGUGCGGUCAGAUUGGUGUGUGCGGUUCAAUCUAGUGUGCGGUCAGAUUGGUGUGUGCGGUUCAAUCUAGUGUGCAGGCAGAUUGGUGUGUGCGGUUCAAUUCAGUGUGCGGUCACAUUGGUGUGUGCGGUUCAAAUCGGUGUGCGGCUGGAUUAGUGUGUGCAGUUAAGGAGUGUGUUUAAGUGUAUUAGUGUGCGGUUUGAAAUUACUCAAAUGGAAUCUCAAAACAUGAUUGCUCAUCAAGAUUUGGAUGCAAUUAUGGGAACAACCCUCGUAUUCCNAGAUUGCUAUCAGCUGAAGGAUUUCCUGAAUGGAAAUAUCGAAUUGAAAAAUACAUCAAAAUGAAGGAUUUCAAAAUUUGGAGAAGCAUUUUAAGAGGACCAAUUCGGAUUACUUCUACUUUAGAAGAUGGAACGGUAAUUGACAAACAGAUUGAAAACUACACUGAUGAUGAUUUUGAAGGAGUUGAAGAACAAGAAAAGGCUCUUGCCACACUGACUAUGGCAAUGUCUCCUGAAAUUGCACAAGGAUUUUGUGAGUAUACAUCAGCAAAAGCAUUGUGGGAAGCACUCAUAGAAGUUUAUCAAGGAAAUGAAGACAUGAAGCAAAGUCGACAAGACAUGCUCCGACAAAAAUUCAACAUGUUCAAUCAUGUAUUGGGAGAAACAUUGGAAAAUCAAUUGCAAAGAUUUAUCACACUAACCACUAAAAUGAGCUCCGCAGGUGUGAUGGUUACCAGAUCUGAAAUCAACAAGAAGUUACUAAAUUCUCUUCCAAAAUCAUGGGACAUGUUUGUCUCAGUGAUUAAAAAGAUAAAAGACCUAAACUGUUUAAGCUUGUCUGAAACAAUGGUAAUCAUCAAAGUUUGCGAUCUUGAUGAUAAACAAAGAGAAAUCAAUCAUGCCAAUUCAUACUCUACAGCAAAUCUUGGACUUCAAAAUAACAACACUGCUUUUUCAAGCUUCACCACUCAUCAAAAUACUCAAUUCCAAGUUCCUCAAGUUCAACCUCAUACAGUCCAUUAAAACAUACCAUACAUCAUACCUAACAUGCAACAAACUCAAAUCCCUCAAACUAUAUCUCAAGUUGGAUCUAGUGUUUUUCCCUCCACAGAUGUUUCAGUUCAAUCUCAUGGAAUUGGUUCCGAAAGUUCAGUUACAAAAGAAAAAGAGGAAAAUAUGGAUUUAGCUACUGGGUUGGUGAACUGAUACAAUGCCUUUGUUGCUGGAGAACUCUCUCCACCACUUUCAUUCACUGAUCUUGAUCAAAUCCAUCCUGAAGAUGUGGAAGAAAUGGAUAUUACUUGGCAAAUGGCAAUGGCAGUAUUCAGGGCUAAACAAUUCACAAAAAAGACUGGAGAGAAUAAUUGGGGUGUAAAUUUUGAUAAAAAGAUGGGUUUUAGCAAAGGAAAGUUACGUUGUUAUAAUUUUCAUGAACCAGGACACUUUGCAAGGGAAUGUCCAAAACCAAAUCAGCGAGAAAACUCCGAAAGAACCAUGGUGCCAGUAACUUACGUUCACAGCAACAACAGAGGAUCAUCUUCAAACAAUCAGUCUGCAAACAUGGCAAUGGUAGCUCAAUCGUUCAACUAGGAAGAUCAAGUUCAGGCCCUAAACAUUUCAGAUGCUGAAAAGGCAAAUCUUGCUCAAGUCAAGGAUGAAAGUAAAGAAAUUGAAGCAGAUCCAGAGGAGGAGAUGAUGAAUUUGCAGUUUGCAUUCAUGGUUCAGACCACUCCUGAACCAGUCAAAUCUGAGGUUAGUGAAUUCGGUUGUUCUCAAUCUUGUAUUAAAACUGUUAAGUUUUUGAGAGAUCAAAUUGAAAUAAUCAAAAGAGGGAACGAGGACAUGAAAUAUGAGGGAUAUACUCUUAGAAAAAAUCAAAAGCCCAUAAAAACUCAAUUAGAAAAUAAAACAAAAGAUUUUAAAAAAUUGCAAGAGGAUUACAGCAACAAAUGCGAGAACUAUGAUCAUCUCAAAAGAAAGCUUGCUGCUGUAACCUUGGAACUUGACACAUUGAAAAAUCGUUUUGAAAAAGCUGAAUUUAAUUUCAAAAAGUACGAUGGGUCAAGUGAAAAGAUUGCAAAAUUAAUUGAAGGUCAAUUACAUUGGAGAGAUAUUACUCAUGCAAAUCAAAUAAAAGUUGGAUUAGGUUUUGAGAGUGUCCCUCCUCCUUUCAAUCACAAUUACACUACUAUUCCUCUGUCUCAAGAAGAAAUUGACAGAGAACCUUGCAUGGUGUAUGGAAAGUCAGCUUCUGAGCAGGAAAUACAGUCUAGUUAUGAGACUUUGCAUACUAACGUUUUUACUUCAAGUGCAGAUAUAUCAAUAGUUCAGGGGGAGCAUGCUGCUGAAACUUUUGAGUCAAAUAAUGUUGUGAUUGAGUCUAGUGUUAAUUACAGUAAUGAGUCUGUGUCAAAAUCAAACACAAAUGUUUUUGUGUCGGGUGGUAUUUUAUUACAGUCUGACAAUGUUCUUUCUAAUAAUGUUGUUUCUGAUCAAACUACUAAACCUGAUCUACAUGUCUCUGCUUCUUACACAUCUGUUACUAAAUUCUAUGAUGAAUCUUGCAAGUGUAAAUGUGUUAAAAAUGAAAAAGCAAAGAAUAACAUUGUCAAAAUUAGUGCCAAAGCUACUGAUGACAAACAAAUUUGUUUUAACUGUGGCACUGCUAGACACAUUGCAAGAAAUUGCAUGAACCGGAUGUUUGUAUCUCAUACAACAAAAAGGAGGGAGAAUGAAUUUUAGGGACGAUCUUUGACUAGAAAAAUUCCCAAAAUUCAUUCUAGAAAUGGAGAUUUGAAUACAACAUUAAAAGAAAAAAUUCGAAAGAUUUCAAAAGAACAAACAGGUUUUUCACAAAAAUAACAGAAGUUUACCAAAAUCAACUCAGGCCAAGCCUAAGUCGAAUUUGUCAAAGAGCAGGAAAGGAUCUUCUAACUCUUCAAGUAGGAAAUCCACCGGUUCAAAUCAAACUAACAAAUUCUUGAAACCUAACUUUCAAUGGAUUCCAAAAAAAAUUUCAGAUCAAUCUCCAUUACUCUCCAAUUCAAAUGAAAAACUUGUAAAAGGAAAGAGUCAACCUAGGAUUGUGAUGACCUGGGUUCCCAAAACUAAAUAAUUCCAUUCAUCGUGCAGGGACAGUUGCAGAGGAAUGUCGCCAGACCUUGGUAUGUCGACAACGGCUGCUCCCGGCACAUGACUAGAGAUAUAUCCCAAUUGCACGACAUUCAAACUUUUAAUUGGGGAUAUGUUUCUUUUGUGGGCGGAGAGGGUGGAAAAAUUACUCAAAGAGGAAUUGUGUCAAAUGGAGUGUUGAAUUUUGAGAAUGUUAACUUUGCUCCGGAACUGAAGCACAGCUUGCUGAGUGUAUCCCAGAUAUGUGACAAGGGCUACUCUACUCAUUUCACAGAUAAGGAAUGUCUGAUCUUAAAACCUGGCAUUGUUAUCCCUGAAGAUUGGAUUCUUGUAAGAUCUAAGCGAGAUGGAAAUGCCUACAUUAUAGACAUGAAUAGCAACUUCCCUGACAAUGUCACGUGUCUCUUCUCCAAAGCUUCUGAACAAAAUGCGAUGUUAUGGCAUCGUCGUCUCGGUAAUGCGAAUGCAAAGAACCUGAAUCGGCUUGCGAAGAACGAAUUGGUCCGCGGGCUACCCAUCAAAGAUUUCAUUACUUUUGACAAAUGUGUUUCAUGCGCUCAGGGAAAACAUCAUCGAAAACCACACUUUCCAAAGCAGAUAAACUCCAUAAGUCAAGUGAUCGAGUUAUUGCAUAUGGAUUUAUUUGGACCGGUUAAUGUUUUGAGUAUCAAUCGCAACUCUUUUUUCCUUGUUGUGAUAGAUGAUUACUCUCGUUUCACUUGGGUUUUCUUUUUGUCUAACAAAGCUAAAAUUCCUAACCUUAUCAAAAGAUUCAUUGUGAUGAUUGAAAAUCAGACUAACAAUCGAGUGAAAGUGCUGCGUACCGAUAAUGGAACAGAGUUCAAGAACGCUGUUCUUGAUCAUUUUUGCACUGAGAAAGGGAUUGUACAUCAAUUCAGUUCUGUUCGAACACCUCAACAAAACGGGGUUGCCGAACGUAUGAAUCGAACUCUAAAAGAUGCCGUAAGGACGAUGCUCUAUGAUUCCAAGCUUCCUGUAUUUUUCUAGGCAGAGGCGAUUAACACCGAAUGUUAUGUUCAAAAUCAUGUGCUAAUCAACAAAGCCAGAAUGAAGACACCGUAUGAGAUUUUAUUUGGACACAAGCCAUCUGUCAGUCAUUUCCGAGUAUUUGGCUGCCCUUGCACCCUUCUCCACUUGGAAUCUAAUCCCAAAUUCAAUGCCAAAGCCGAUGACUAUUACUUUGUUGGAUAUGCUGCUCGAACUGCGUACAGGGUUUACAAUAAGAAGACUAAAGAAAUUGUAGAAUCGUUUGGUGUUCGUUGGCUUGAGGAAAAUCAGACAGAUGCUAGAGUGGGUCCUGAUUGGUUAUUUGACUACACAUCUCUUUUCAAAUCAUUCAAUGUGUCUUCAGAUAAUCAAGAAGGAUCUACUUCCAAUUCGAAGAUUCCUAGUGAAGAUGAAGAAGAUGAAGUUGUUUAUCGACCUCCAUUGAUUUCCUCUGAUCCUCCUUUGGUACCCUCUACUCAUUUUGAAUCUUCUGAGCCUCCUCAACAACCUUCUCCUGAUGCUAUUGCUACUCCUUUAACUCCAAUGGAAAGAGAGUUCAUGAACCACGAGACUUCCGCUGUAACUUCAAAUUUGAUGGAACUUCUCUUUCCAAAAAAUAUUGCAGAAGAGUUUGUAGCGGAUUGUUCAAACAAACCUUGUUCAUCCUCUGCAGACCAUAUAUCAAAUGAUGGAGCGAUUAAUAUUCAUAAUCUUCCUGUUACUGUCAAUGAUAUUAGUCAUCAGAUCCCUACACGCAUUCAGCGAGAUCAUCCGAUAGAGAACNUUGGCCAGUUGGGCGACGGGGUUCAAACGAGAAGUAAAAGUGGGGAUGUAAAUACAUGUCUUUACUCUUGCUUCAUAUCUCAAAUAGAACCUAAAUCUGUCGAAAUGGCUCUGAAUGAGCCCAGCUGGGUUGAAGCCAUGCAUGAUGAAUUAAAUCAAUUUGAGAAACUCGGAGUCUGGAAAUUGGUGGAGCUACCAAAAGGAAAGAAAUCUCUUGAUACUCGUUGGGUAUUUCGAAAUAAACAAGACGAUUCAGGUGUCAUUGUGCGCAACAAGGCAAAAUUGGUGGUUCGAGGGUUUCGACAAAUUGAGGGUCUUGAUUAUACAUAAGUUUAUGCUCCAGUUGCUCAGUUGGAAGCCAUUCGCAUCUUUCUUGCUUAUGCUUCCUACAUGAACUUUACUGUAUACCAAAUGGACGUCAAGACGGCUUUCUUGUACGGCAAAGUCAAGGAGGAGAUUUACGUUGACCAACCACCUGGUUUUGUUAAUUCAUCUCUUCCAAACCAUGUUUACAAGUUAGACAAAGCUUUGUAUGGAUUGCAUCAAGCUCCUCGAGCUUGGUAUGCUACUCUUACUCAGCAUUUGCUCAAUCACGGCUAUUCCCGAGGCACCAUUGAUCAAACCUUAUUUCUCAAGCAUGUUGGUCCAGAUCAAAUUCUCGUUCAAAUUUAUGUGGAUGACAUCAUUUUUGGGUCGACAAGCCAGCAACUUUGCAAGGAGUUUGAAGCGGUGAUGAAGAAGCGCUUUGAGAUGAGUUCACUUGGGGAAAUGACCAUGUUUUUGGGGCUUCAGGUCCAACAAUCUUCAACCGGAAUCCUUAUUCAUCAAGCAAAAUAUGUGGAAGAUGUACUGGAGAAGUUCGGGUUUCAAGACGCAAAACCUGCUCUUACGCCCAUGGCGGAACGGCCUCUUCUGACUCCUGAUCUUGAGGGUGAAUCCGUAGAUCAAACUCAUUAUCGAUCAAUGAUCGGAUCACUCAUGUAUCUUACUGCUAGUCGCCCAGACGUCAUGUUUGCGGUCUGUCAAUGUGCUCGCUACCAGGCUAAUCCUAAACUCUCUCAUUUAAUUGUUGUUAAAAGGAUUUUUCGGUAUCUCAAAGGGUGCCCAAAACUGGGUCUUUGGUAUCCGAAAAAUCCCGAAUUUGAUCUUUAUGCUUUUGCAGACAGCAAUUAUGGUGGAUGUGAGCUUGAUAGAAAAUCGACUUCAGGAGGAUGCCAAUUUCUGGGAGAUAGAUUGGUGUCAUGGCAGUGCAAGAAGCAGCACACAGUCUCAACCUCAACAGCAGAAGCGGAAUAUGUUGCUGCAUCUGCUUGUUGUUCUCAAGUCAUCUGGAUCCAACAUCAAUUGUUGGACUACGGUUUGAAUUUUCAAGAAACCCCUAUUUUUUGUGACAAUGAGGCUGCGAUUCAAAUUGCCAAAAACCCGGUCUUGCACUCAAAAACCAAGCACAUCGACAUUAAAAUUCAUUUUAUUCGAGAAUGUUAUGAACGUUUGCUUAUUCGGUUAGAACAGGUCCGCUCUGAUAAUAAUGUAGCAGAUCUGUUCACCAAGCCUUUUAGCAAAGCUCGAUUCGAUGUGCUGGUUAAUUUUCUAAAAAUGAUUCGUUUUGAGGAUUGAUUUUUAAAUAAAUUUGUGCAUUUCAUUUCUUUUAUGCACAAAUUUAGGGGGAGAAAAUCCAAAAACAUUAAAAAACUAAAUAAAUAAAUAAAUAAAUAAAUAAAUAAAACAUUAAAAAUUUGAAAAACCAAAAACAUUAAAAAAAUAGAAAAUCCAAAAACAUUAGAAAAUCAGAAAAAUAAAAAUUAUUAUGCUUGUUAUAGAAUGUGUUUGAGGGAUAUGUUUUGGGAAGUGAUAUGAUCAUGUGAUAACAGGCAACCUGAGUCUGUGUAACGUACCCAAAGUUGAAGGGUCUAUGCUCUGGUUUGAUGUGUCGGUAGGCAGGAAAUAUUUUUAAAUGGACAUGACUAGGCAGAUAUGAACUUAGGAAAUCAAAUGACUUGACAAAUCUUGACCUAGAUAGUUUCGUUUAGCCUGACAAUACGACGCUCGGAUAGGUUGAGCAGGGAGAUAAAUAUGGGAAUCUAGUCGUCACAUUAAUUCAACCCGUACUUGGAACUGUGGAUUAACUUUUCCUUGAUGUGCGGAUUCUGUCCUUAAUUCCGGUUGGAUGGAGCGACUGGUAAACUCCGAUAAACUAGGUCUGUAGAAUAUCAUUUUCUAUCUUUCUGUCUGUUAGUCAUAUGUUGUCUCCUUUGCGCGACUUCUAAUCCGACCUGGUACACAACAUAUGCAACUCUAUUUCUCUGUAGGCUAUAUAUAUAAAUGUGUGAAAUACUUCUUAUCUGUUAGCCAUAUGCUGUCUCCUUUGCGCGACUUCUAAUCCGACCUGGUACACAGCAUAUGCAACAUUCUUCUUCUCAACCCCUCUGAAGUAGUUAGCAAUAAAAUUAUGAAUCUCUUCUCUCUCUGAAUGGUUGUCUACUCACCCGGUGUAAGAAGUACUCUGGAAGUUCUUGAUGGUUGGGGCAUAUCAGGAAGCGGGAAACACGUUCUAGUACACUUAAAAUUAAACACAUACAAAUUGUCUGUAGAUCUCGCUGCUCAAUUUAGGUGGACAACAAUAUCCCUGGUCAUCAUCAGCUAAUGGUCCUUAAGAUAUAGUAUCUAGAAAGUUAGGAUCAGAUAUAAUUAUCUAGGAACUUAGGAUCACAUUGUCUUGUCACUUAUAGUGUGUCCUAUUUUUGUCACAAUUUUUCGUGUUUAAGUGCACCACAAUACCGACAAUCGACCAGACAAAGAUGUGAAUAUGAAAGGUACCGACAAGCAGAUAAUGGUCGUCUAAAAACUUUGAUCCCUAAUCCUCAAUAGGUUAAAGAAAUUUAUAUAGGUUUAAAUUGAUUCUUGUCGUUAAUAAGUUCCUUUUUUAUUUUAUUUUUAAUUUUUAUUAUUUUUAUUUUUAUUUUUAUUUUUUAUCUUAAAUUUUUCUUUAAUUCUUUGAAAUUAAAACUCUAUUAAUCCUCAAAACAAUUCAUUUUUGAGAAAAUUGUGAGUGAAAAGGGCUUUGGGAUAAAUUAUUAAAGGAAAAGGGGGAGAAAGGGUAAAUUCUGUGCAUAUAUAUAGCGUGUGUGCGGUGAGCCUUUUUCACUGUCAUUUACUGUUGCCUCAACCGCACACACAUACUUUCUCUCUCAAACUCUUUGAAAAUUUCCAUCAAGUUUCUGUGAAAACAAGAUCUUACUCGAGAAUUCUCAUGAACACGGUUGAAUUUUUUAUCACUUUCACAAAUUUCUCUAUUGUUUGCUGUUAAUUUUUCAUAAAAUUUGUUUGUUUGGGUAACCACACUCUGUGUGUGUGCAGCCGCACACGUGAGUGUGCGGCUGACCGUGUGCUGCCACACAAGAGUGUGCGGCUGACCGUGUGCUGCCACACAAGCGUGUGCGGUUGACCGUGUGCGGCUGCAUGAUUUUGUGGAUGUGCAGCUGUAUGUAUCUGCGUGUGCGGCUGAACAUUUCCUUGUUGCCCUAAUUUUUCAUGUGUUUACUUUCAGAUUAAAAUGGGAGACCAGGAGUUUGCUAAAGCUCAUAAUUCUGCAAUUUUUCUUGAAGACCCUCCUGCAACCCAUAGUGACUUGAAAUUCAUUGUGGAUGGUUUGAAGAAAUCAUGCUUGGUUCACGCCCUAAAUACAAGUCCUGCUAUCUACCAGAGUUUGAUUAAAGAAUUUUGGAGAAAUGCUGUUGUAAAGAAAAAUGGUCAGGGUGACAAAUUUGUUGAAGCAACAAUUGAAGACAAGAAAAUCCAAGUAACAGAAAGCAUCAUUAGAAAAUCCCUUCAAAUAUCAGACAAACCUGAGUAUACCAUGGAGAUUGAUAUUAAUCAAACUCAGGAUGUCUUGGAGCAUAUGGACUAUGAGGGAACAUUUCCCCCUACAAUCAAGAAGUUGCUUCCUCUGUGUUGGAAGUAUUUGGCUCAUGUGUUCGUAAGCUGUAUUUCUGGUAGGAGAUCUGGAGCAAAUGAGAUUUCUCUAGCCAACACUGGUGCCAUUGCAGCAUUGGCUGCAGGUUUUGAGUAUAAUUUCUCAAAGUUCAUUCUGAAUGAAAUGAUUUUAAAUCUUGAAGGGACCAAAAGAGACAAAUUCUGGAUGUAUCCAAGAUUUUUGCAAAUUAUCCUCAAUGUGAAUCACGCCGAGCUGCAGAGAGGAAAUGAUAUAUUGGAUUUCAAAUCCAUUGGUCCAAGUGCCUUUGGGCUAAUGAAACAAAAGAGAGGCGGGAAAUUUGUAUUUGAAGGAAAAUUCCCUUUGAUAAAAUUUGGAAUUUUUAAAGAGGAUGAUAGAGAAGAAUCGGAAGAUCAAUCUGUGCCAAUUGAAAAUGAAGAUAUUCAUCACUCUCCCUCCGAACCUGAAGUCGAAGAAAUUCAUCACUCCCCCACAGCUUGUGUAGCUGAUGAACAUGAUUAUCAGAAGGCAAAUGAUUCAAAAUCUUCUCGAGGGGAUGAUGACGAUAAUAUUUAUGAUGAUGUAGAAUUCUUGAAAGAAAUUAACUUUAUAGGAUUCAAUGAUGACAUUCCAAUAAACAUAGAGUUUGAUCUUGGUGAUGAAGAUUUUGAUUCUCUUCUCAAUAUUCCCAGCAGCCGUGCAAAUAAAGUCAAUGAAGUUGCUUCUCUAGCAACCAAGACUAGAGAUGAAGGAAACUUUCUCAAAAUUAUACUCUCCACCUCGAAGCCCUUGGAGGUCACAACAAGCCAAGGAGAUGUGACAUCAGAGAUUCCUCCCUCUGUUUCACUUGUCUCAACAUCAGCUCCAAUCAUUUCUGACUUUUCGGAACCUCAGAUUUCUCAGACUUCCAUAAGAACAAGCCAAUUUCUUGAAAGUCUGGUGAUUCCCGCUGUAAAAAGUGCUCCUCAAGUUACCUCAACAAUCACUGCAACCUCCGCUCACUCUCCUCCAAAGCAGACUGAUGAAGGUCCAAGUACCAUAUUUGAGACUGGUGCAUCAUCUUCUAUUCCAGAAUAUUCUCCAACUCGACCUUUUCUAGAUGAAGCUUCCAUCAGAUUAGUAAGACAUUUGCCUCAAUCUAGUCCAACCUCUUCACGUGGUAAAGGAAUAUCAUUUAACGAGGGUCGGACAGAUGAUGACAAAUUCUCUUCGUCUGAUCCUCGAGAGGAAAUCGGAGUUCUCCGCCAACAGCUCAUUGAAAAAUCAAUUCAAAUGGAUCAACUUUCUGCAUAUGUCUUUGAGCUCAGGGCAAAGGAUGAAGAAAAGACCAAACAAAUCAAAGAUCUACAAACGAUUCUUGGAUACAUUCUAGCCAGUUAUUUCAAUCUCAAGAACGUUUUGAAUGAUGCUUUUGGUGAAAAAGUCAAAUCCCUCUUCCAACAGCCUCAUAGAGUCGUUGAUCAUCUUUCUGCUCAAUCACCUGCUGAAACUGAUGAUCUACCUGUUGACCCACCUGCUCCAAGAACAACUACCAUUGUAGACACAUUUGAAAAAGAACCAGAAGGAAGCAGAGCCAAAAUCACAAUCAAACAGGGUAAAAGGAUUGUGACUGCAAAUCAACGCGAAGGACUUCUAUUCAUGAAAAAUACAAAUGAGAAUCGCAAAGCUUGGCGAUAAGUACUGUAACAGAUUUGAAAAAGAGAAAGUUUGGCGAUAAGUAUGGUGACAGAUCUGGUAUCCGUAUGUGGGCUUUCGAUCCAGAAACGAAUUUGUGGGUGGUGAAGCGAAAUUCAGGAAUAUCUGAAUGUUACAAAAGCACCCAUGAUUUCAAUUCUUGGACUAAGACUGAUCUAGCAAAAUUAUCUAGAGUCCCCUUUCACAAUCCCUCGCAAGAUCCAAGUGCAUCAAACUUUAAGAGGUUCCUUGAUAGGCAGGUCAAAGAAAAUUUUCCCAGUAUGAAGACUGCCAAAGCCCUUUAUCGAAAGGAUAAGGAUGUUCUCGACCCAGAAACAGGCAAACCUAUGAAGAUUAUCUUAUGGCCUGCUAGAAAGAAGCAAAAAGAAAUUCCAAUCCCCCAGCACUUCCAAGAGGGAUAUCUUGAUAACAUGGAAUUUUGGGCAUACGAUGACGAAACUGCAACUGCCGCUAUCAAAUUCAAAGAUCAAGAACAUGUUUUGAGGCUGAUUAAUCCAAAAGAUCUUCUUCGUUUUCGAGAAAGGGAUAUCCGGACUUUGGCCCGUCACCAGAUAAUCUGCAGAAAAGACGUAAUGGAAGCUGCUGCUAAAGAAUACACUGCAAUGGUAGCUACAGUCAUAAAUGGAAGAUUGUGGAUGGGAUCAAUGGGGAGAUCAGAUUUGAGGUUGUUUGAGAAGCCUGCUGAGGAGCCAAAGGAAUGAUGACAAGACUAUGCUAGUCUCAAACCAAGGGGGAGACUGAAAGAACAUAAUUUGUGGUUUGAGCUAGGCAUCAUUUUUUUAUAGAUAAUUGUGUCAUUUUGCAGUGUUUGUGUUUUGUUAUGUAAUGUGUGCUGCCACACAUGUGUGUGCGGCCGCACACAUGUGUUUGGUUGCACUCUCUUGUGCUGGUAAGAGGAGUACUAUUUAUAGCAACUGAGUUGUGUCAGUCUGCACUUUUGGCUAGGUGUCAGAGCUCUGCAGCAGUUGUACUUUUCUCCAGAUGUACUUGACAUUUACUGAAUAUAGAUGUGUGCAUGCUUGAUUUAACUUCUUCUUCAUCUCAAUCUCAAUCUUAUUGCAAUUAACUUCAUUUAUUACUAAAUUGGAUCCUUAGUUUUGGGACUUACAUUAUCAAUAUGCAACCGACUCGCAAGAUACAACUCACACAUCUCGGUUUCAAGAAUAUAAGAUGUUAUCGUCUCACCAAUCACUCGUGAUACAAUUCAUAGAGUGAUCCAAGUGAGCAUGGGUUUAAUCCAAUGCUCAAAUUCAUAUUCAUAAGCACUCAUGAAUGUUGCAGCAAACAUUUGCUUAUGUCUAAUACUCUUUAGACAAUCCACACACCAAUUCACGACAGUCUUUAUUCAUACCUACUUCCAACAUAUGAACGACUGUGGCCCGUUCGAAUAAUUUGACUGUUCUAAACCAAUUAAAUUAUUCAGGAAGUCAAAACAUGCAAAGUGAAACACAAGAAUAAUACUAAUCCCAUAUGGCCUCAAACCUUUGAGCAUAAAUAAAACACCUUUUAUUUAUCACCAUAUCGAUUACUCAUUAUUUGUUGUUUCGGGUAAUCAACUUCUUACUUGAAUUAUUACACUUGUCCCAUGCUCCUAGCAUGCACACAAUGUUUACCUAUGGUUCUUACUUUGUGAAAUAGACCAAAUUGAGCACAUUCCCAAUCAUUCUCAUUUCACAACUCCAAAUCCUUUUUCCAUAAGUGAAAGAAUAUCAAAUUCUUGCUACUUAUAGAUUAUGCUAGAUUCUAACAUUUUAUGCAAUGAUCCUUUCGUGAUAUCACUGCACCAAAGUCACAAAGACUAUUGCCAAUGAUAUUACAAAGUCCUCUAUCGGAGAUUGUUACAAGACAAUUCCUUAGAUAUGAUGUCUCUCACUCAAAGUACAUUCCUUUGAACAUCCUUUUGCAUAAAAGUUUCUAAUCUAGUCAUAGAUUUUCAAUAUUCAAUUCCCAAUAUGGACACGUUUCCAUAUUUUCCAUAUGACAACUCAUUCUUAAUAGAAUCUUAUCUAUUCAUAAUAAUGUCGAUAUGGUCCAUCCAAUAUGAAAACAUUUCCAUAUUUUCCAAUACUAUACUUCCAACUACUCACAAGCGACCAAUCCUCGGCGAACUUUGGAUUGUCCUUUGAUAGUUGUUUAAUUAUUUUAGUCAAAACCGAUUCUAGUCCUUUUUCCCUCUAAAUGCGCUAGACAUUUGGAAAAUUUUAGAAUGGUCAAACAUUAAAGCAUUUGCAAUCGAUCCUAUACCCGAAGCGUAUGGGACACGACGCAUAAUGUUUUAUUUGCUAUGUUCUCAAAAUUCGAAUUGUGAAGAGGAAUGCCGUAAUCAUAAUCGAAAUUUAAGAACACACUAUAUACUUCUAAUUAAAUUAUUAACAUUCCACAACCUAAGCCUUUAGAUUUGAAAUGAAGCAUAAUAUUCUCUCCCUUAAUUAUAGUAAAACAACUAUUUCAUCCUUACAACUUUCCUUAAUAAUCAUACUAUCAUAACAUUUAUGCUCCCACUAUCAUGAUGAUUAUUAUAAACAUAACACUUAUGCUCCCACUAGCUUUGACAUGUAUUCAGAAACAACGUAACUUUCAGAAAAACAAUGCUUAUUGAAUUUCUUAAGUUCAUGUUUCUAAUACUUAAUGCUUUGAUAAUGUUUUAUCAAGGCUUCUUGAACUUAUACACCUUUGCCUUAGAUAGUUCAUAUGUGUGUCUAAACAAUUGCCAAACCUCACAAUUCAAAUUAUGGAAAGGGAUACCGUAACCAUAAUCGAAUUUGAGAAUGCAAUUUUACAAUCACUAUCUUCUUAAAAUCUUUCUUAGUGAAAGUAUUUCCUCACAAUCAUUUUCAUGAAGGAGGAAAUCUUAUGACACUUAGAUUUAAACGGUGUAUUUGUUCCUAUCCAUGUGAAUUUGUGAAAACCAAAGUUUACGACAAAAUCAAACUCAUAUGGAUCGAACUUUCUUAAUCUUGAUUUCUUGCCUUCUGGUAGCACAGUUGCCCACCAUGUCUUCCAAGUAGUUAAGAAGCUCACCCUUUCCUAUCAAUGUACCUUUCAUUGAUUAAGCUGCCUUGCCUUUUAUGCAUUCAAAAUGAGAACUCAUAGAACUCACAUGCAUAAUUAACUCAAUUGGAACAGCACAUAAACAAAAUAAUGUCAACACAAUAGGUUGUAAACCUCAACUCGUGUGCUAGUGAUGAUCGAUAAGGUCUAUUUUGAUUUGUUCUGGAAACCUUUCAAGACCUUUAAGACUCCCACUGACUCCUUGACAUAUAAGAUUCUCUUGUCAAUAACCUUUUCUUGACAAACAAUUAUUCAAGAGUUAGUGUAGCUUUUAUCAAAACACUUCAUAAAUUGGUCAUAGGUUGUCUUUGUCUUAUCCAAGACAUUACAACUCUCCAUAUUUGAUGAAUGUUAUAGACCUUCUUAAUACUUGUUACUCAAUGUCACAAUCUUAACUCUAAGACUUGUUUUGGAACGAAGUAUGAUUGACUUCUUGAUUUAACAAUUUUUUUAAUUCUUGAUUCCUCUUCUUAAACAUACAAUUAUACUAAGACUCACAUAGAGGAUCAAUUGAGAUAUGGUUCUUAAUCAUUAAUACCUAUCAUAAAACAUAAAAGGUACUCUCCCAUCUUCUUAGAAUGGAGAAACUUUUAUCUUUCUGCCUACUUGAUUCUUCUUAUUCGUUUUGCUAUUGAUUUAAACUUUUUCAAUCAAUUCAGAAUCACACUUAAUCUUAUAACUAUAAUCAUAUUUACUAAACCUUUAGUAACUCAUGACGAAUGUCUUUAUUACUGUUGUGGUGGACAUGAUCAACACACAACUUUGUGUACUCGAUCUCUUAGUCGUUCACUUGACACUUUGUCAAUGAAUUAGUCUAAUUUCCAAAUGUGAAAUUUCUCAUUCAUCUUGAAACCAAGUUGCAUGAUUCCAAGUUUCUGUCCAAUUGAAAUUUGGGCGAUGAGAAACUCUCCCUAUUUGGUAAAUUUUCGACAUUUUCUCAAAUAACAUAAUUAAGAGUCAAAUCCAUUAUUGCUAAUAUUAGAAACCUUCAAACAUCAAUUUUCAUGCAUGCCAUUGCAAGGAUAAAUAAAUAAUAUAAAAUCAAAUUUUAUUUUAUUGCGGAAAAAAAUUGUCCUUACCAUGCAAUUCAUUGGAAAACUAUGCUAAUACAUCUUUCUUAGCAAUCUUAUUCUAACUCUAAGUAGUAGCUCAAGAAUCUAAUCUUCGAGAAAUGCGAUCGAAAUCCAUUCCUUCCAGGUUAGAUUCUGCUCACUUCUUCCCUUAAGCUUCCUUUCUUUUCAAUUGUAAUCUUAUCACAUUAUGUAUUAAGAAUCUAGAAUAGAAGCUCAAAAGAGUUAGUUAAUGGAUUUUACCUAUAUUAGAGCCAUACGUUUCGAAUCUCCCAUCUCUUAGAUCUCUUAGGUAAAUGGGGCAGCUUCGUUUCCAAUGCCCUUUUCUCUUGGCAAUAAAAGCAAAUUGACUCUUUUGGAACAUGACAUGGAACUACUUCAAACAUUGCCUUUCUCUUAUGAUCAAACUUUUCGAUCAUAGCAUGUCUUUCGUUGCCAUUGUCUAUAUCCAUAGAGGUCUUGAAGGCAGAUUCACCAAUCAACUUUGCUUUUCUAUUGCGCCAAACCAUUGCUGAUUCAGCAGCAAUAAGCAUAUAGGUGAGAUAUAUAAGGGUCACGUCGCGGUUCAUCAUAUAGUACUCUCUUACGAACUCACUAUAUGAGUUAGGAAGUGACUGAAGAACCCAAUCAACAGCCAUUUCCUCACAGACAACGGAUCCCAACAUUCUUAACCUAUCAAUGUGUGACUUCAUCCCUAGGACGUGUGCACACACCGACUUUCCUUCUUUAUGUUUACUUGCCAAAAGGGCUUGAGUGAUCUUGAACUUUUCAAGCCUUUGAACUUGUGGGUUAGGGAGAAUAAUUGGAGGAGGUGGAGGAAGUGAAGCAUGAUUUCUUGUUCCUCGAUCGAAUCGUGGAAUAUCAUCUUCAUGUGGAAAGCUUGUUCCACGGGAUUUGGGAAGACCAUAGUUGUCGAACUUUGACAUCUACAAAACGGGAGAAAACGAAUUCAAGUUAGUUGAUUGAUUGAGUCCUUAGUAAAUCACCCAAAUGAGAUACUAAGGCUAGGACCCAACACAAUAUUCUACAACUCGGGAGAGGGAUGCCGUAACCCAAAUUGCAGAACAUUUGAAGGUAAGUGAAUGACGAUUCACUAAUUUCCACCAUGAAAAACGAAAAAGAAAUUUAAGUUUUAAAUCUAUGAAAACUCCUAGAUCCUUUGAGAUUCAUUGAACAUUUCAAUGGCAUGUUUAAAUCUCGAUAUGCCCCUCUUGUUUGUGACUGGGAUGCCGAGGAUCACAAAGCGGGUGUGAAUAACCAUGCAAACUUACAUGGUGCCCUCACAUGUUACAGUCACCUAUUCGAUGUGCCGGUAAACCACACACGCUCCACCGAACUAUGACAAACAUUGAGUCACCCUUUGCUACCUUUGCUUAGAACCAUUUAGUGUGCCGGUAAACCACACACGCUCCACUAACGUCUUCGCAAGGGCACAAAGUGUAAUUUCAUGGAAUUGCAUCAAUUCACUUUUGCCUAAGUAACUAAGAUUGGGAAUUUUAUGAAAACAUUUAGUUACUUUUAUACUUCAUUAUACUUAUAAUGGAAGGUUUCGUCCUAUCCUACCCGUUCGGCUAACGACCCUCCACUAGUCAAGAGUGCGGUGGGUAAGAGUGGAUACCCAUUCAAUCGCCAUUUUAUAGGCAAUUUCCUUAAACACCCCUUAUAGACCAGCUUCGUGAAUGAGGCCUACUAACGGUAAGACUGACUUUUACUCAUACAUAUAUAUAAUGUUAGACUUUUAAUGUUAUAUAUAGUAUAGGGUGUAUUUUACACUUUUAAAAUACUAGGUGGUCAAAUUUAACAAUUAUACUUUUAAUUCAAUUAAAUUGUAAACCUAAACUUUUAUGGAUUUAUUAAACCUCUUUUAAUUAUACACCUUAAUUAAUUAAUAAAACCAUAAGGGUGUGAUUUGAACUUUUUCAAAACUAUACUAGAGUUUUAGAAUUUAACAUUCCUAAUUAAACUUUUAAUCAACUUUUAAAUUCCAAAACUUGAGGGCAAGUUUUGAAACAUUUCAACACAUUAGGGUUUAGAAUUUAAAUAUACAUCAAAAUUAAACUAUUUAAUCAAAAUUUAAAUUCCAAAACUUGAGGGCAAGUUUUGAAACCUUUUUCAAAACAUUAGGGUUUCAACUAUUUAAAUUUCAAAACAACAAAACUUUUGGGUUCAAAUUUAAACUAUAAAACCUAAAGGGGAAAAUAUGAAACUUUUCAUAACAACAAGGAUCAAAUAACAAAUAAUCUAAAUUAACAUUUAAUCACAUAAUUAUCCAUAUUUGAUUUAUUUAAUGAUUUCUUGCAAAACAAUUUACCAAUUUAAUCAAAAUAAUUAAUCAAUUAUCACAUAAGGAAACAAAUAUUUUAUUAAUUGAUAAAUAUCUUCAAUUAGAUCAAGAAUAUAGUCAAAUAUAUCAUAAAAUCGGAUUUAUAUUGAUCUAAUAUGAUAAGGCAACUAUCCUUAAGCAAAAACAGCAGGAAAUCCCGGUUUUCCCUCCUUCUGACGAGCCGACUCGCCAAGUCAGGCAUGGACUCGUCGAGUCAGCAUGGACUCGGCGAGUUCAUCUAUGGACUCGGCGAGUCUAGCCUCUAGAAACAUAAAAAAAGAAUUUUUUUAAUCAUACAAUGCAUCAAUACAAUAGAUACCAACCUGGCUCUUAUACCACUAAUGGGUUUUAGUCAUAAGAACAUCCUAUGUGCUCAUACAAACCCUAAUGCUUGGAUCUAGGUUUCUCUAUUGUACAUGCAAGUUAUCCAAGACUAUAAACCCUAAUUCUAGCAUNNNNNNNNNNNNNNNNNNNNNNNNNNNNNNNNNNNNNNNNNNNNNNNNNNNNNNNNNNNNNNNNNNNNNNNNNNNNNNNNNNNNNNNNNNNNNNNNNNNNNNNNNNNNNNNNNNNNNNNNNNNNNNNNNNNNNNNNNNNNNNNNNNNNNNNNNNNNNNNNNNNNNNNNNNNNNNNNNNNNNNNNNNNNNNNNNNNNNNNNNNNNNNNNNNNNNNNNNNNNNNNNUAAGGGUUCUAUAUAUAGUGAGGCUAUUAGGGUUAUCUAACAAGGAAACCCUAAUUUGGAUGCUUAAGCCCUAAGAAACCCAUGGAUCCCUUUUCUUAAGGCCUUGGACGAUUUCCAUAUGGGUUCCCCCAUAGAAUUCGUCCACUCCUUAAUACAAGGCAAUCCAUGGCCCAAAUUACAAUUAUCUUAUAAUUACAAUUCUAGUCCCUUAAGUUUAACUAAUCUCUUUUAGUCACAAAACUAAUUACCAAUUAAUUAUUUCCUAAUAUUAAUUAAACAAUAAGAUUUGUCCUUUAAUAUAUUAUUCCCAUAAUAUAUUAAUAAAUCAUAUUUAAUCCUUUCUCUCCAUAAUUCAUCUUAUCAAGUUGCUUUGGUGAAGGCAACCCAAAAGGACCAUGCACCAUCGGGUCAAGUACAUACCAAAAUAGUUAUGGACUUAGAUACUAAUUCAACAAAAAUAUCCUAUAAAAUCGAAUAUCGAGGAGAUAGGCAUUUCAUGUAGCCCUAUGGAAACUUCUAUGGUGGAUACUGUUGGAUAAGGUGUCUACGUCCAUAACUACUUUUCUGGUAUGUACUUGACCCGACCCGACAUGGUCCAUUUGGGUUGCAUGGCACCAUGCAAUUGGAUAAACUAAAUGAGAGAAAUAACACAUAUGGUUUAUUAAUAUAUUAUAAGUUCUAAUAUAUUAAUAAUAUUAUUUAAUUAGUUUUGAUCAAGAAUUAAUUUAGAAUUAAUUAAGUGAUCAAAAGAUAACUAAUUAGAUAUAUGGGUAGAUUAAGUAAAUCUUCCAUAUCUUAUAUAGUGGGCUAAGAGGCUCCAUGGAUUAUCAAGUUGUGUUCCACCCAUAAGAUGCUCCAUGGAUUUAACCCAUGGAUCAGGAAAUGAAGAGUCAUGGAACAUUAGGGUUUACCUAAUGUCACACACUAUAUAAGCAAUGUAACUCUCCCCAAAAUCGGCUACACAAAAGAAAUAAGAGGGCUUGGCCGAUUUUGCAUGUGUUAGAGUAUUCUCUCAUGUUUAGUCUUUGGAUUUGGUGUUGUGUGAAGCAUUUGAGGCAUCACACUUGAGGUGCUAGGCUCACAAGGUUUCAAGGAACACUUUCAACAACAAGGUAUGUAGUUGUAUCUUUUAUACAAAGAAAAUUGUACCCCAUGUAUGCUAGAUAGGUUCAUAACCUUGGAAAAAAACAUUGCAUGAUUAUUAGACAAACAUAGAUCUAGGGUUAUUAGGGUUGCAUGCACACUUAGGAAGUGUUAGAAUGCUCAAAACCCAUCAGUGGUAUCAGAGCCUAGGCUUGCUUGUUUGAUUUUUGUGCAAACUGCUUGAAAAAUUGAGUUAUCUGCUUUCUACCCGUAUGAACUGGCCGAGUCCAUGGGGGGCCUCGACGAGUCCAUGGCCAAAUUCAAGGUACUCGUCGAGUCAAUUCAUGCACUCAACGAGUAGAGGCUGCAGUUUUCAGAAUUUCAAUUUUUGUUGCUGGAAAUGGACUAGGAACAUUACCCUAAACUGUUUUGGUGUUUUAAAACAUGUUUUAGUUGGUGUAAUGUUCAUGUUAAUCCAUUUACAAUGAAAAAUUAUCAAAAUUACAAGUUUUAAGUGUAAUUUUUAACUCAUAAAACCAUUUAAUUAGAACUGGACUCUUCAUUUUGUAACCUUUGCCAACUUUUAUGAGUUUUAUGAUUCUUAAAUGUGACUUUUCAUAUAACUUGAGGACAAGUUAAAAAAAACACACAUUGGAAUCAAAUCUUAGAUUAAAAUGGAUUGAAAUCAACUAUUUCACACAACUUUUCUAUUAAUCUAAGAACAAGAUAAUUCAAAUAAUCAAUCUUCAAGAAAUUAGCAUCAACAUACAAACUAAUACAAAUCUUGAAAUUAUGAAAUUAUCUUAGAAAUUGGAUUAGCAUGAACAUUACCACAUCAAAAACAAGUUUAUAUGUCCAAAAGCAUGUUAGGGUAAUGUUCCUAGUCCAAUUCCAGCAAAAACAAUCGAAUAUAUGAUGUCAGGGGGUCCAACUCGUCGAGUGCACGAACCAUUCAUGGACUCGGCGAGUCUGCUGUGCAGACAACAUCAAAACUCGAUUUUCUCAGCUACUUUUGCAAGUAUAACAAGAAAACAAGCCUAGACUCUGAUACCACUGUUGGGUUUUGAGCAUUCUAACACCCCUAAGUGUACGUGCAACCCUAAAUACCUUGGAUCUAUGUUUUCUCUAUUAUACAUGCAAUUAUGAACAACCAAGGUAUUAUCCUAAUCUAGCAUACAAAAUAAUGAAUAUAACAAGAUAGAAUACAUACCUCUUUGAUGUAGAAUGUCUUCACGAAACUUGAGUGCCUAGUGCCUCAAGUGUGACACCUCAAAUGGUUCACACUGUUGGAUUAAUGUCUAAUUCCAUAACUAUAAUUGGUAAGACUUGACCCGACCCGACAUGGUCCAUUUGGGUUGCAUGGCAUCAUGCACUUGGAUAGACUAAAAUGAGAGAAAUAAGACACUUAUGGUUAUUAAUAUAUUAUAAGUUCUAGUAUAUUAAUAAUAAGAAUAAUAAGAUUAUUUAAUUAGUAUUGAUCAAGAAUUAAUCUAGGAUUAAUUAAGUGAUCAAAAGAAGACUAAUUAAAUAUAUGGGUUGAUUGUGUAAAUCGUCCCUACUUAUAUAGUGGGCUAAUGCUCCAUGGAUUAUCUAGUUGGGCUAAAACCCAUAUGAUUCUCCAUGGAUGCUCCAUGGUGUUUUGAACCUAUGGAUCAUGUAAAUGAAAGUCCAUGUCAAUUAGGGUUUACAUGGUGUAACCCUAACUAUAUAAGCAUCAUAUUAUUCACCAAAAUCAGCCACUAGUGUGUGUAAUGAAGGACUAGCUGAUUUCAUGAGUUGUAGAUUUCUCUCAAGAUUAUUCCAAGUGUAUUUGGUGUUGUGUGAACCAUUUGAGGUGUCACACUUGGGGCACUAGGCACUCAAGCUUCAUGAAGACUUUCUACAUCAAAGAGGUAUGUAUUCUAUCUUGUUAUAUUCAUUGUUUUGUAUGCUAGAUUAGGAUAAUACCUUGGAAGUUCAUAUUUGCAUGUAUAAUAGAGAAAACAUAGAUCCAAGGUAUUUAGGGUUGCAUGUACACUUAGGAGUGUUAGAAUGCUCAAAACCCAACAGUGGUAUCAGAGCCUAGGCUUGUUUUCUUGUUAUACCUGCAAUAGAAGCUGAAAAAACGAAUCUGGUGCUGUCUGGCCAUCAGACUCGGCGAGUCCAUCAGGAGACUCGACGAGUCCAUGCCUAAAAAGUGAUGAAUUCGAUCCAACUCGCCGAGUUUGUUCAUGCACUCGACGAGUUGGACCCCCAGACAGCAUAUUUUCGAGUUUUUUGGCUAGAAAUGGACUAGGAACAUUACCCUAAGUUGUUUUUGAACUUAUAAACUUGUUUUUGAUGUGGUAAUGUUCAUGCUAAUCCAUUUUCAAAGAUAAUUGUCAAUAGAUUCAUGUUUUGUAUUAGUUUAAGGUUUAGACUAAUUACAUGAAAAAGUUUGAUUUGAAUUAUCUUGUUCUUAUGAGUUGCUUAGAUUAAUAGAAAUGUUGAGUGAAAUAGUUGUUUUCAAUCCAUUUUAAUCUAAGAGUUGAGUAUAAAAUGUGUUUGUGUAACUUGUCCUCAAGUUACAUGAAGAGUCACAUUAAAGACUCAUAAAAUUCAUAAAAGUUGGCAAUGGUUACAAAAUGAAGAGUCUUGUGUCAUUGAAUAAUUUUUUUUGACUCCAUAACUUGUCCUCAAGUUAUGGAAGUUCAAGAGUCACUUCAUUAAAGAAAAAUAUGUAACCAUAAUUAAAUCCAUAAGUUAUAAAAUAAAGAAAAAGUUAGUUCUUUUAUUAGUUUAAAGUCUUCCAUAACUUGUCCUCAAGUUAUGGAACUUGAAGAGUUUUUGGAUUAAAACUACUUUAAACACAUAAGUUAUGGAAUUAAUUAGUUUUGAAUAGUUUCAAAACUUGCCCUCAAGUUUUGGAAUUUGAAAAGUUUUCAAGUAUGAAUACUUUAAUUCCAAGUUAGCCCUUAGAAUUUUAAAAGUUAAAAUUCAACCCUUAUACUUUAUAAUAUUAUAAGUUAAUAAUAUAUAUAUGUAUAAGAGUAAAGUCAGUCUUACCGCUAGUACGCCUCAUUCACGAAGCCGGUCUAUAAGGUGGGUAUAAGGUUGUUGCCUAUAAAAUGGCAACUUAAUGGGUGUCCACUCUCACCCACCGCUUGCUUGACUGGUGGAGGGUCGUUAGCCGAACGGGUUUGACAGGACUAGAAUUCUCCCUUCAUUAAAAGUAUUAAUGAUAAUACUAAGUAACUAAACUCUUAAUAAUACCCAAUCUUAGUUACUUAGGAAAAAUGUGAAUAAGGUGCUAAUCCAUGAAAUUACACUUUACACUUUGUCUAAGUCGUUAGUGGAGCGUGUGUGGUUAACCGGCACACUAACUUGGACUUAACAAGGUAGGUAAAGGGUGACUUAAUAUUUAUCAUAGUAUCGAUGGAGCGUGUGUGGUUAACCGGCACAUCGAUUGAGGGGUAAUUUAUUAAGGGUACCAAGUGAUUUGCAUGGUUACUUCACACCUUGUUUUGUGAUCCUCGGCAUCCCAGUCACAAAACCUGAAGGGCACACUCGAGAUUGAAACAUGCCUUUGAAAAGUUCAAUGAAUCUCAAAGAUCUAGGAGUUUCAAAACCAAUUAAAACCUAAUAAUACAUUUCGUUUAUCUUGGUGGAAAUUGGUGAAUCGUCAUUCACCUACCUUCAAAUAUUUUAUAGCUUGGAUUACGGCAUACCUCUUCUAAGUUAUAAAAUAGUUUGUUGGGUCCUAGCCUUAAUAUUUCAUAUUGGGUGUCAUAUUAAGGACUUUAAAUCAACUAUCUUGAAUAUCUCCCAAAAGAUGUCUGGUUUAGACACCUAUGAUCUUCCCAAAUCUCUUGAAACAAGGUUUCCUAAUGAAGAUGAUGUCCCAUGGAUAUCAUACUUCUUCACCUCUUCAAAUUAUUCUCCCUAACCCACAAGUUCUUGAAAAGUUUAAGGUCACUCAGGCCCUAUUAGCAAGGCAAGGUCUAGGUGUGGUCACAUCUUGGAGAUGUAGUCACAUAUUGACAAGCCGGGAGAGUUGGGUGUCAAAGUCUUGAGAAAGUUGGUGGUUCAACCACUUUCUAAGUCACAUAGUGAGUUCCUUUGGGACACCUAUGAAACAGACUAUGACAAGACCCUUAAUGAUCUUAUCUAUUUGCUAAGAUCAACUUCCUAAAACUUUAUGGACAUUGACAAUGAUGACAUUGGAUAUCCAGUAAAGCAUUCUCUUCCCAAUGGAAAGGGAUCGGCCAUAGUCAACUCGGUUGACCAAAUGGUAAAGAGAAAAGCUAAGUCUGUGAUAGUCCCGUGUACCAUUAUCAAAGGGUCCAUAUGUUUAUAUUGCCAAAGGAAGGGGCAUUGGUUGCGAAGCUGCCAAAUUUACCUAAGGAUGUUAAAGUCAAUAAGUUUGACUCUACUUCAGGUAAAGUCCACUAUCUAACUCUGUUAAGUUUCUAUUCUGAGAUUCCUGAUACAUGAUGUGACUGGGUCACAUGGUGAUGUUUUAAGAAUCAAAGAAAAGUGAAGAAACUUAAAGAAAGAAUAUGCUGAAUCUGAUGGCAUAGAUGGAUUUCUAUCGCAUAGUUUGAAGAUCGGAUUCUUGAGCUACUUCUUAGGAGUUAUGAGAUAUUGCUUAGGAAAAGAUAACAACAAGUUUUCAAAUGGAUUGUAAGGAUAAGUUGUUUCGCAUAGUUUUAAAAUAAAAGAAAAUUUUUGUUUUUAUUUAUUUUAAAAUAUCCUUACAAUGACAUUUGAGGAAAAAAAAUUGUUGCUUAUAUUCCAUUAAUAGCAAGAGUGGAAAUAUGAAAUUGAUUCUUUCAUUUGUGGUAAUGUCUAGAUUUACCAAAUAAGGAAAGAUUCUCAUCACCCAAGUUUCAAUUGGACCGGAACUUGGAAUCAUGCAAGUUGUAUAGCAUGAUGAAUGAGAACUUUCAAGUUUUGAAAAAUUAAGACUAAUUACUCGUUCAUAUGGAUGUGUGAGUCAAGUAAAGGACUAAGGGAUCAAGUACACAUUCUUUUGCACUGGUCAAGUCCACCACAAAAGAUUAAUAAGACUACUUGUCAUAGUUUACAAAAGCUUAGUAAACAUGAUUAUACUUACAAGCAUAAGUGUAACUAUGAGACAUUGGAAAAAGGUUACAAUGUAUGACAGAGCGAAUAAGAAGAAUAAUAUUAGGCAGAAGGAUAAAAGUUUCUCAAAUCUGAAAAGAUGGGAGAGUACUUUAGUAUUAGUUUUGUGAUCAUCUUAAUGAUUAAGAAACCAUAGCACAAUUAGUUCUCUAAGGAAAUCUUAGUGCAUUCUUAUGACUAAGAAGAGGGAUCUUGAAUUGUUGAAAUGGUUAAAUCAAGAAGAUGAGUCAUACUUCGUUCCAAUACAAGUCUUAGAGUCAUACUCCAAGAUUGUAACUUGAGUGACAUGUCUUAAAGAAGGUUUAAAACACUUGUCAAAUGUAAGAGUAAAAGUUUUUUACUCUUGUACAUUUGAAAUUGGUAAGUUGUGAUGUUUUGGAUAAAACAAAGACCAACUUAGGCCAAUUUUGUGAAGUGUUUGUCUUGAUUAGAAUCUGCACUAUCUCUUGGAUGUUUGACAAGGGAGUCUUAUAUGUCAAGAGGACAGUGGGAGUCUUAAAGGUCUUGAAAGUCUCAAGAACUAAUCAAGAAUAAAACCUGAAGUUCUUCACUAGCACACGACUUGAGGUUUAUAACCUAUCGUGUUGACAUAUUUUGUGCCCAUUCUAGUUAAAGUUGGCUUUGCAUAUGAGUUCUUAGAGUUCUCAAUUAGUUACACAACAACUUGGAAGCAAUGGAAGGCCCUUGAGCUGCCAGGUGGCAAGAAAUUAAGAUUGAGUUCAAUCCAUAUGAGUGUGGAUUUGUCAUUAUCCUUGUCUUGUGUCUAUGGUUUUGACAAUUCACAUGGAUAAGAACACAUACACCAUUAAAUCUAAGUGUCAUAAGGUUUCUCUCCGAUUCAUGAAAAUGAUGGUGAGGAAACACUUUCACUAAGUAGAUUUUAGCUAGAUAGCAAUUGUGAUAUUUGCAUUCUCAAAGUCGUUAGUGGAGCGUGUGUGGUUUACCGGCACACUAACCUGGACUUGUGAGAAGUGGCAAAAAGGUCUAACCAUUAUGAUUACGGCAUCCCUCUUCAUAAUUGUUUAGACACACAAGUGUGCUAUCUAAGGGAAGGUGUAUGAUUUUGAUAAAGUUUUAUCAAAACAAUCUAGUAUCAGAAAUCUGAACUUUGGUAAGAAAGUCAGCUGAUUUCUGAGUACAUGUCAAAGCUAGUGGGAGCAUAAGUGUUAU
This 47703-nucleotide long non-coding RNA is filed under the name Lactuca sativa (garden lettuce). RNAcentral describes it as "long non-coding RNA (LSAT_LNC009077)". Lineage: Eukaryota; Viridiplantae; Streptophyta; Magnoliopsida; Asterales; Asteraceae. The record is from RNAcentral.